ACCCCUGCGAGACCUUUCCCCGUUUCUUUCUAACCUUAACGAAUGCGACAUCGAAUGUCAUACUUGAUGCAUAUUCACUUUAUUUGUCCCCUUGUGUGGUGUACUGUUUGUUUCCUAAUUUGAAUGGAUGUAUGUAUGUAUGCUUGCAAUCGCAUAGAGAACGAUCCGGUCGAAGAGCCCGAGGAACUCGCAGGAGAAGCCCCUGAGCAGCAGUCGGUUGGUGGAGGCAAGUGUCCCUUGACCUAUCUCUGUCCUAUUCAUUAUUUAAUUCACCUCCCGCUUUACACAUUUAUGCCUAAGGAUUGACUAGCUUUUGUGAUCCAUGUCCUUGUUUACCUAUCUGGGUUGGAUUAUUAUUGUUUAGCUUUAUGCUAUUGCUCAAACUCUAAUCAAUGAACAUGAUGAGAUUAUCUAUGAUACGCUGUUUUCCCUUCUCUUAUUAUGAUGUUGUACUUGUGGUCAUCAAGGGGGCUCGAGCGGUUUCUCGAGUGCCUCUCCGUAAGGACCUGUUCUAUGGAUGACCGCCCGGGAAAACAGUGCAACCAUGAGGGUGGAAUGGGGUGCCCUUAGCUGAAUAAUUAGAGAACUCGGGGUGUAGAUCACUUAGCCAUCGUGCCGUCAAUGGGGCUCGGUGUAUGCGGCUCGCUCUGCCAAGUUUGGGUUCGCCCCUUGGGGAGGAGUGCGGUGCAUUUAGGAAACCUAACGGGUGGCUACAGCCCCGGGGAAUCUUUGUAAAGGCUACGUAGUGAUGCCCUGUUGGGUCACCUUGGUAGUGAUCAAUGGAGAGUCAUGAUCUCCGGGCAGAAUGGGAAUCACGGCUUGUGGGUAAAGUGCACAACCUCUGUAGAGUGUUUGAAAACUGAUAUAUCAGCCGUGCUCACGGUUAUGAGCGGCCAAGGGAGCUCCAGUGAUUAGUGGUACUUGAUCAGAGAUACUUUGGUACAGGUGGCGAUGAAAUCGAUGGUUUUGGUUACGACUAUGGUGCUGGUAAGUGGUAUUCUUUCCGUUUGGAAAGGGUACAUCAGGCUAAUAACUUGGGUUAAUGCUAAAACCUGGCUUUUUAUUAGUAAAUAAUAAUCUGACCAACUAAAAGCAACUGCUUGACUUAUCCCCACAUAAAGCUAGUCCACUACAGCCAAACAGGAUAUUUGCUGAGUAUGUUGAUGUGUACUCACCCUUGCUCUACACACCAAACCCCCCCCAUCCCCAGGUUGUCAGCAUUGCAACCACUGCUCAGGCGAAGAUGAAGCUGUGGAAGGAGACUUCCAGGAGUUCCAAGACUACGAUGAGUUCUAGGUGUGGGUUAGCAGCAACCCCCAGUCGGCUGCCUGUGAAGGCCGCGGUUAUCUACGUUUCUUUUCCGCACUUUGAUUUAUUGUAAGGACUAUAUGGACGUCUCAGACGUAUGAUGUAAUCAACUAUUAUUUCCCUUUUAAUACUAUUUUGAGCACUGUGUGAUGAUGUCCAUGUUAUGUAACUGAUGUGUACGUGAAUAACUGAUCCUGGCACGUACAUGGUUCGCAUUCGGUUUGCCUUCUAAAACCGGGUGUGACAUAAGUGGUAUCAAAGUUGUGCUGACUGUAGGACCGCUAACCUAGAGUAGAAUGGUCGUUCUAAGGACUAUAGACCUCUGUCCCUGCCUUGACUUUGAUAUCCCUUCAAAAGUUGGUCAUACCGACCACACCUAUGUUCUACUAUAUAUUAUACCUUGCUGAAAAUCAUGUUUUAUUCUAAUCCUUCAUUUAUUUAUGAUUCAUUACUGGCUGGUCAUAUUGAUUCUGUUCUCACCCUUUUGCUUGCGAUGUCUUUUGUAGAUGGCUCGACUUAGACACACUGCACGAAAGUCUGUCAUCCCCUUCUUACCCUCCUGCCUUGCUGAGCGUCCGCUUCGCCGUCCCGUGGCCGGACAGUCUAACCACUUGGAGAGACUGCACCACCGCCUGCGUGAGGAGCAGGAACGUCGACGACAGGAGCAGCAUGGCUCUUCUUUCUCGCUCCACCAGGAGAUAGAGUCCGUGAGGAGCUGCUCCCCUGUGCUUCCUCUGGAGGCGCCCCCUGCACCAUCACUGGGCGCCCCAGCUUCUGGAGUAGCUGCUGGAGGAGACCCAGACGACGGAGGUGGCGACGACAGCUUGAGCCACGACACCGACUUCUCUGCUAACCAUGAGCCGGAAGGAUGGGUUGCUCGACCCAUCACUCGCGACGCUGCUCGCGGGUGUCACUUCCACGAUGCGCUCGACACCCUGCUACGUCGGGCACUUAACCGGCAUACUUGGUCCAUCGAGUAUCGCUGUGUGGUCUACCAGCAUAGUCGCGGGGUCUACCCGGACCGCUGGGAGGCAACCUGCUUGGUGCGCCGCCCGAAGAACAGUCUCCAGGGUGCGGAGGCCUGCUUAGAGCACCAUUCUAUCUCUGAGCGGGACUCAGCUGAGGCAGCCAUGCAAGAUGCUGCACGGCGUGCGCUUUCGCACUACUGCUCGGUUUUCGGUGGGGUAGCUGACGGCCUUGACCUGAAGUAUUACCCUCGCCGUCCAUCUGGCAGCACAGGAGGCCUGAUUGUCUCACCUGUCGGUGAGGGCAAUCCUAGGUUGAGCAGCACAGUCAACCUAGCCGCCGUGCUAAACACGGAGCUGGACCAUGCAUUAGACGAGCUGAGUAGGGCUCGUGCUGAGAUCGCCCUGCUGCGGGCUGAGCGCGCGGAACGUCGUCACCUGGAUGAUGGUUCCCCCACUCCCGUCGGGACUCAGCAUCCGUACCGCUCACCUCGGCGUGGACACAAGCCUUAUGGCAAUCCCGACUGCAAGACCAAGAUAAAUCUAGAACCAUAGCUCGUUAGAGUUGGAUCUUGCAAUUAAUACGAAAUAUAUACGUAGAAGCUACAGUCUUAGUGUUAGUCUCGGUCUUAGUUAGUCUUAGUUAGACAGGGUAGUUUGCUAUAUCCUGUGCAUUUAUGUUUGUCAUGAUGAACUAUGUUUGGUUUGGAUCUUUGUAAUGACUGUCACUAGAGUGUGGGUAUCCCCUGCAUUUUGGUUUACCUAUUAUGUUAAUAGAGUUAGUUAUGUAGUUGGGAAACCUUUUAUUCCACUUUCCUCUUAUCUGAGAAGCUGUGUUGGUCUGUGUUGGAGAUCAGUGAAGAUGCUCAUCUGUUCAGUGCUGUUGAAGAAUUCUAUACUCUUUUCUUAUGCUGCAAGAUUUGCCAGAUUAGUUCUGAUGUGUGGUUGCAUUCUGCAGAUGUCAGAGAACAGGCGCAGAGGAGGAAGGCGUGCUCAGCAGGAGCGAGCCGCUCAACAGGAGGAGGUGCCCCAGCAGCAGCACCUGCCGCCCCCGCCCCCGAUGUCCAUCGAGCAGAUGUUUCUGAUGCAGACUCAGGCAGUUCAAGCCAUCGGUCAGACCUUGGCCGCCAUUCAGCAGCAGCAGCAGCAACAGCAGCAGGCCCCACCUCAGCCUCAGAUGCCUCAGAUGCCUAGAGACAAGCGUGCUGAAUUCAUGAGAGGUCAUCCACCAACGUUCGCUCACUCUUCUGACCCCAUGGAUGCUGAAGACUGGCUGCGCACUGUGGAGCGGGAGUUGCAUACCGCUCAGUGCGAUGAUAGGGAGAAAGUCCUGUAUGGUCCCCGUCUAUUGAGAGGAGCAGCCCAGUCAUGGUGGGAGUCUUACCUCGCCACCCAUGCCCACCCUGACGCCAUCACCUGGGAAGAGUUCAGAGGUAGCUUCCGUCUGUACCAUGUUCCUGCAGGUCUGAUGAUAGUGAAGAAGGAGGAGUUCCUGGCCCUCAAGCAAGGGUCAUUGUCUGUCAGUGAGUACCGGGACAGGUUUCUGCAGUUGUCUCGCUAUGCUCCUGAAGAUGUCAACACCGACGCCAAGCGGCAGUACCGUUUCCUGAGAGGCUUGGUUGACCCUCUGCAGUACCAGCUGAUGAAUCAUACCUUCCCGACAUUCCAGCACCUGAUUGACAGAGCAAUCAUGACAGAGAGGAAGCGUAAAGAGAUGGAGGAUCGUAAGCGCAAGAUCAGUGGACCCCAGCAUGGAAGCAGCAAUCGUCCUCGUUUCUCAAGCAAUCAACCUCAGCAGUUCAGGCAGAACCAGCGUCCACCUCAGCAGCAUUAGCAGUUCCAAAGGCAGUAUCCUCAGCACCAGUACCAGAACCGUCAGAGCAAUCAGUCAGGAGGUUAGUUUCAGAGGCAGAAUCAGCAGGCACCUUGUCUUCCUGCCCCAACAGCCCAGCAGAGCAAUCAGGCAGCACCAGCUCAGGUUGGAAACAGAGCAUGUUUCCACUGUGGAGAGCAAGGCCAUUGGGUGAUGCAAUGUCCGAAGAAGGCAGCCCAGCAGCAGUCAGGCCCCAAUGCCCCAGCAAAGCAGAAUGUGCCUCAGCCUGGAGCAGGCAACUGCUCUCAGCCGCGCUAUAAUCAUGGAAGGCUGAACCACUUGGAGGCUGAAGCAGUUCAGGAGACCCCCGGCAUGAUAGUAGGUAUGUUCCUAGUCGACUCCCAUAUUGCAGAAGUGUUAUUUGAUACUGGAGCAACGCAUUCUUUCAUUACUGCAUCAUGGGUAGAAGCACAUAAUCUUCCAAUUACUACCAUGUCAACCCCCAUUCAAAUUGACUCAGCCGGUGGUAGAAUUUGAGCCGAUAGCAUUUGUUUGAAUAUAAGUGUGGAAAUAAGGGGGAUAGCAUUUCCCGCCAACCUUAUAGUAAUGGGUACUCAGGGAAUAGAUGUCAUCCUAGGGAUGAAUUGGCUAGACAAGUAUCAGGCAGCUAUCAGUUGUGAUAAGAGGACAAUCAAGUUGGUGUCCCCACUAGGAGAAGAAGUGGUGACUGAGUUAGUCCCGCCUGAGCCAAAGAAAGGAAGUUGUUAUCAGCUAGCUGUUGAUAGCAGUGAAGCAGACCCAAUUGAGAGUAUCAGGGUUGUGUCCGAGUUCCCAGAUGUGUUUCCAAAGGACUUACCGGGUAUGCCACCAGAGCGGAAAGUUGAGUUUGCUAUAGAGCUUCUUCCUGGAACCGCCCCUAUCUUCAAGGGAGCUUAUAGAAUAUCCGGACCAGAGUUGGUUGAACUUAAGAAGCAGAUUGAUGAGCUGUCAGAGAAAGGUUACAUCCGGCCAAGCACCUCGCCUUGGGCCGCCCCUGUCCUAUUUGUGGAGAAGAAAGAUGGCACCAAGAGGAUGUGCAUCGAUUACCGAGCUUUGAAUGAAGUCACGAUCAAGAACAAGUAUCCCUUGCCCAGAAUAGAAGAUCUGUUCGACCAGUUGAGAGGAGCCAGUGUGUUCUCCAAGAUUGAUCUGAGGUCAGGUUAUCAUCAGCUCAGGAUCCGACCUUCGGACAUUCCGAAGACGACAUUCAUUACCAAGUAUGGUUUGUAUGAGUUCACAGUGAUGUCUUUUGGUUUGACCAAUGCGCCAGCGUUCUUCAUGAACUUGAUGAAUAGUGUAUUCAUGGAUUACCUUGAUAAGUUUGUGGUGGUAUUCAUUGAUGACAUUCUGGUUUAUUCUCAAAGCGAAGAAGAGCAUGCAGAUCAUUUGAGGAUGGUAUUGCGGAGAUUGCGAGAGCACCAGUUGUAUGCAAAGUUGAGCAAGUGUGAGUUCUGGAUCAGUGAAGUCCUGUUCUUGGGUCACAUAAUCAACAAAGAAGGAUUGGCUGUGGAUCCGAAGAAAGUGGCAGACAUUCUGAACUGGAAAGCGCCAACAGAUGCUCGAGGAAUCAAGAGUUUCAUUGGAAUGGCCGGAUAUUAUCGGCGAUUCAUUGAAGGGUUUUCGAAGAUUGCGAAACCUAUGACAGCGUUGCUAGGCAACAAGGUUGAGUUCAAGUGGACCCAGAAAUGUCAAGAGGCCUUUGAAGCGCUGAAAGGAAAAUUGACUACAGCGCCUGUCUUAGUCUUGCCUGAUGUGCACAAGCCCUUCUCGGUGUAUUGUGAUGCUUGUUACACAGGUUUGGGAUGUGUGUUGAUGCAAGAGGGAAGAGUUGUGGCUUACUCGUCCCGACAGCUGAAGGUUCAUGAGAAGAACUACCCAAUCCAUGAUCUAGAAUUGGCAGCAGUGGUUCACGCACUGAAGACAUGGAGGCACUACUUGUAUGGACAGAAAUGCGAUGUUUACAUAGAUCACAAGAGUCUGAAGUACAUAUUCACUCAGUCAGAGUUGAACAUGAGGAAACGAAGAUGGUUAGAGUUGAUCAAAGAUUAUGAGUUGGAGAUUCAUUACCAUCCAGGCAAAGCAAACGUAGUGGCAGAUGCUUUGAGCAGAAAGAGUCAAGUCAAUCUGAUGGUCGCUCGUCCGAUGCCUUAUGAGUUGGCCAAGGAGUUCGACAGGUUGAGUCUCGGAUUUCUGAACAAUUCACGAGGAGUCACAGUUGAGUUGGAACCUACCUUAGAGCGCGAAAUCAAAGAAGUGCAGAAGAAUGAUGAGAAAAUCAGUGAGAUCCGGCGACUGAUUCUAGAUGGCAGAGGCAAAGACUUUCGAGAAGAUGCAGAAGGCGUGAUAUGGUUCAAAGACCGCUUGUGUGUUCCCAAUGUCCAGUCCAUUCGGGAGUUGAUUCUCAAGGAAGCUCAUGAGACAGCCUAUUCGAUUCACCCUGGCAGUGAGAAGAUGUAUCAGGAUCUGAAGAAGAAAUUCUGGUGGUACGGAAUGAAGAGGGAAAUCGCAGAGCAUGUGGCUAUGUGCGAUAGUUGCCGAAGAAUUAAGGCAGAGCACCAGAGACCUGCUGGAUUGUUGCAACCGUUGCAGAUCCCUCAGUGGAAAUGGGAUGAAAUUGGUAUGGAUUUCAUAGUCGGAUUGCCUCGCACUCGAGCCGGCUACGAUUCCAUUUGGGUAGUGGUGGACCGCUUGACCAAGUCAGCCCACUUCAUACCUGUCAAGACCAACUAUAGCAGUGCCGUAUUGGCAGAAUUGUAUAUGUCUCGGAUCGUUUGUCUUCAUGGUGUGCCAAAGAAGAUAGUGUCAGACAGAGGAACGCAGUUCACCUCUCAUUUCUGGUAGCAGUUGCAUGAAGCCUUGGGCACACAUCUGAAUUUCAGUUCAGCUUAUCACCCGCAGACAGAUGACCAGACCGAAAGGACCAGUCAAAUUCUUGAAGACAUGUUGAGAGCCUGUGCGUUGCAAGAUCAGUCCGGAUGGGACAAGCGAUUGCCUUAUGCAGAGUUUUCCUAUAACAACAGUUACCAGGCCAGUUUGAAGAUGUCACCAUUUCAGGCGCUUUAUGGAAGGAGUUGUAGAACUCCGUUGCAAUGGGAUCAGCCUGGAGAAAAGCAGGUGUUUGGGCCAGACAUUUUGCUUGAAGCCGAAGAGAACAUCAAGAUGGUCCGAGAGAAUAUGAAGAUAGCGCAAUCAAGACAGCGAAGCUAUGCAGACACAAGAAGAAGAGAGCUGAGUUUCGAAGUCGGAGACUUUGUCUAUCUGAAAGUGUCACCGAUCAGAGGAGUCAAGAGGUUCGGAGUCAAAGGCAAGCUAGCCCCCCGCUACAUUGGUCCGUAUCAGAUUCUUGCAAGACGUGGAGAAGUGGCCUAUCAGCUCAGUUUGCCCGAGAAUUUGUCUGCUGUGCAUGAUGUCUUUCAUGUGUCUCAGUUGAAGAAGUGCUUGCGUGUGCCAGAAGAGCAGUUGCCAGUGGAAGGUCUUGAAGUCCAGGAGGACUUGACCUACGUUGAGAAGCCAGUGCAAAUCCUUGAGGUUGCAGACAGAGUCACCCAAAGGAAGACCAUCAGAAUGUGCAAGGUCAGAUGGAUUCAUCACCCUGAGGAAGAAGCAACCUGGGAGCGUGAAGAUGAUCUGAUGGCCAAGUACCCAGAGCUCUUUGCUAGCCGGCCCUGAAUCUCGAGGGCGAGAUUCUUUUAAGGGGGAUAGGUUUGUAACGCCUCGAAUUUUGGAGUUGAAUUUUUUUAUUUUCUUCACUCGCUAAAUUCGGGCGUUACCCUUUCUUUUUUUUUCUUUUUUUCCUUUUCCCUCGCUAGACCUUGAUCUUUUCCAAAAUUAUAGCGGGGUUCGGCUUGGAAUUCCCGCGUAAAGCAAAACCUUAAAAUACUUUAUGUUGUUUGAUGCAUCAUGCCGAACCAUGCAUUCUUUCGAUUGCUUAAAAAUGUAAGUGCAUUCAUCCAGGAAAAACGGAUUUCGAAAAGGAGAAAACCUUUUUUUCUUUUUCUUUUUUUUUUCCUUCUCUCUCUCCUCCCUUUUUCUCUCUCCCGCGCCGUGGGCCGCCCUGGCCGGCCCAGCCGCCCCCCCCCCCGCGCGCCCCCUUUGGGCCCAGCUGGCCCAGCCGCCCCUCCCUUUUCCCCCCAAUCCCUCUCUCUCCCUCCCAUUCUCUCUCUCCCCCACCCUAGCCGCCGCCCCACCCCAGCCGCCGCCCCUGCCCUAGCCGCCGCCCCUGCUCAUCGCUGGUUCGGCCGCCCGUCCCCGUCCCCGGUGAGGUCCCCCUCCCCCUCCCCUCCCUCUCCCAUCUCCCCUCCUCUCCCCCCUACCCGGCUCGGCCCCCCCGCCGCUCGGCCGCCCGCCUGCCCCGGCUCGGCCCCGCCGCUCGGCCGCCCCCGCGCCCCCGGUCCGGCCGCCCGCCCGCCCCAGCUCGGCCGCCGGUUCGGCUGCCGGCUCGGCCGCCGCCUCGGCCGACCCAGCCCCCGCCGGUUCGGCAGCCCCUGCCCAGCCGCCCCUGCGCGCCCAGCUCGGCCGCCCCCCUGCACUAGCUCGGCCGGCCGCCCGCCGCCGGCUUGGCCGCCCCCGCCCCUGCCCCUGGCCGGUUCAACCGCCCCCCGGCCGGUUCAACCGCCCCCCCUUUUUUUUAUUUAUUUUAUUUUAUUUUCUUUCAUUAUUGUUAUUUAUUUUAUUUUGGGUAAGCUAAUCAUCGUUCAUGUUAUGAAAUAGGAAACUUAAUUUAGAAUUCCGUUACAUUAAUCAAUUUAUAUAGUCAAUCGUUCAUUUCGCUUAAGGUCGAUCAACUAAAACGGGGCUAGGUUUCUGUUAGUGCAUAUAACUAAUUCUCUUGUUAGGACCAAUUGGAACUAGAGCGCAUAAUUUAACUAAUCAUUCGUGCAUAAGCUUUAACCCCUGCGAGACCUUUCCCUGUUUCUUUCUAACCUUAACGAAUGCGACAUCAAAUGUCAUACUUGAUGCAUAUUCACUUUAUUUGUCCCCUUGUGUGGUGUACUGUUUGUUUCCUAAUUUGAAUGGAUGUAUGUAUGUAUGCUUGCAAUCGCAUAGAGAACGAUCCGGUCGAAGAGCCCGAGGAACUCGCAGGAGAAGCCCCUGAGCAGCAGUCGGUUGGUGGAGGCAAGUGUCCCUUGACCUAUCUCUGUCCUAUUCAUUAUUUAAUUCACCUCCCGCUUUACACAUUUAUGCCUAAGGAUUGACUAGCUUUUGUGAUCCAUGUCCUUGUUUACCUAUCUGGGUUGGAUUAUUAUUGUUUAGCUUUAUGCUAUUGCUCAAACUCUAAUCAAUGAACAUGAUGAGAUUAUCUAUGAUACGCUGUUUUCCCUUCUCUUAUUAUGAUGUUGUACUUGUGGUCAUCAAGGGGGCUCGAGUGGUUUCUCGAGUGCCUCUCCGUAAGGACCUGUUCUAUGGAUGACCGCCCGGGAAAACAGUGCAACCAUGAGGGUGGAAUGGGGUGCCCUUAGCUGAAUAAUUAGAGAACCCGGGGUGUAGAUCACUUAGCCGUCGUGCCGUCAAUGGGGCUCGGUGUAUGUGGCUCGCUCUGCCAAGUUUGGGUUAUUCCCUUGGGGAGGAGUGCGGUGCAUUUAGGAAACCUAACGGGUGGCUACAGCCCCGGGGAAUCUUUGUAAAGGCUACGUAGUGAUGCCCUGUUGGGUCACCUUGGUAGUGAUCAAUGGAGAGUCAUGAUCUCCGGGCAGAAUGGGAAUCACGGCUUGUGGGUAAAGUGCACAACCUCUGUAGAGUGUUUGAAAACUGAUAUAUCAGUCGUGCUCACGGUUAUGAGCGGCCAAGGGAGCUCCAGUGAUUAGUGGUACUUGAUCAGAGAUACUUUGGUACAGGUGGCGAUGAAAUCGAUGGUUUUGGUUACGACUAUGGUGCUGGUAAGUGGUAUUCUUUCCGUUUGGAAAGGGUACAUCAGGCUAAUAACUUGGGUUAAUGCUAAAACCUGGCUUUUUAUUAGUAAAUAAUAAUCUGACCAACUAAAAGCAACUGCUUGACUUAUCCCCACAUAAAGCUAGUCCACUACAGCCAAACAGGAUAUUUGCUGAGUAUGUUGAUGUGUACUCACCCUUGCUCUACACACCAAACCCCCCCCCCCAUCCCCAGGUUGUCAGCAUUGCAACCACUGCUCAGGCGAAGAUGAAGCUGUGGAAGGAGACUUCCAGGAGUUCCAAGACUACGACGAGUUCUAGGUGUGGGUUAGCGGCAACCCCCAGUCGGCUGCCUGUGAAGGCCGCGGUUAUCUACGUUUCUUUUCCGCACUUUGAUUUAUUGUAAGGACUAUAUGGACGUCUCAGACGUAUGAUGUAAUCAACUAUUAUUUCCCUUUUAAUACUAUUUUGAGCACUGUGUGAUGAUGUCCAUGUUAUGUAACUGCUGUGUACGUGAAUAACUGAUCCUGGCACGUACAUGGUUCGCAUUCGGUUUGCCUUCUAAAACCGGGUGUGACAUACACCUACCUCAAGCUCAAAAUGCCGGGCCCCAACGUGGUCAUCACCGUCGGCCCCACGUACCGACACGCGUACGAAUGCGACAUGGAGUGCGUGGAGUACGUCGAGGCCCUCAUCGCUGACAUGGAGAGCCUCUCCAAGGAGGCGCCAGACGUGAAGCGCCACGCCGGCAACUUCGAGCCAGCAGAGACGGUUAAGUCCGUCCCUCUCGACCCCAGCAACGACGCCUCCAAGCAGAUUCGGAUCGGCUCCGAGCUCGACCCCAAAUAGGAAGCAGUGCUCGUCGACUUUCUCCGCGCGAACGCCGAAGUUUUUGCGUGGAGUCCCUCGGACAUGCCGGGCAUACCGAGGGAUGUCACCGAGCACUCGCUGGAUAUCCGAGCUGGAUCUCGACCUGUGAAGCAGCCUCUGCGCCGAUUUGACGAAGAAAAGCGCAGAGCCAUAGGCGAGGAGAUCCACAAACUGAUGGCUGCAGGGUUCAUCAAAGAUGUAUUCCAUCCUGAAUGGCUUGCCAACCCUAUGCUUGUAAGAAAGAAAGGAGGGAAAUGGCGGAUGUGUGUAGACUACACUGGUCUAAACAAUGCAUGUCCGAAGGUUCCCUACCCUCUGCCUCGCAUCGAUCAAAUCGUGGAUUCCACUGCUGGGUGCGAAACCCUGCCAUUCCUCGACGCCUACUCAGGGUAUCACAAAAUCAAGAUGAAAGAGUCCGACCAGCUCGCGACUUCUUUCAUCACACCUUUUGGCAUGUAUUGCUACGUUACUAUGCCAUUUGGUUUGAGGAAUGCAGGUGCGACAUACCAAAGGUGCAUGAACCACGUGUUUGGCGAACACCUUGGUCGGACCGUCGAGGCUUACGUCGAUGACAUCGUAGUCAAGACGAGGAAAGCCUCCGACCACCUCUCCGACCUUGAAACGACAUUCCGGUGUCUCAAGGCGAAAGGCGUAAAACUCAAUCCCGAGAAGUGCGUCUUCGGAGUCCCCCGAGGCAUGCUCUUGGGGUUCAUCGUCUCCGAGCGAGGCAUCGAGGCCAACCCGGAGAAAAUCGUGGCCAUCACCAACAUGGGGCCCAUCAAGGACUUGAAAUGCGUACAGAGGGUCAUGGGAUGCCUUGCGGCUCUGAGUCGCUUCAUCUCGCACCUCGGCAAAAGAGGCCUACCUCUGUACCGCCUCUUAAGAAAGACCGAGUGCUUCACUUGGACCCCCGAGGCCGAGGAAGCCCUCGGGAACCUAAAAGCGCUCCUUACCAGCGCGCCCAUCUUGGUGCCCCCGCUGCCGGAGAAGCCCUCUUGAUCUACGUCGCGCGCUACCACUCAGGUGGUCAGCGUCGCGAUCGUGGUUGAGAGACGAGAAGAGGGGCAUGCAUUGCCCGUCCAGAGGCCGGUCUACUUCAUCAGUGAAGUACUGUCCGAGACCAAAAUCCGCUACCCGCAAAUCCAGAAGCUACUGUACGCGGUAAUUCUGACACGGCGAAAGUUGCGACACUACUUCGAGUCUGAUCCGGUGACUGUGGUGUCAUCCUUCCCCCUGGGGGAGAUCAUCCUGUGCCGAGAGGCCUCGGGUAGGAUUGCAAAGUGGGCAGUGGAGAUCAUGGGCGAGACAAUCUCGUUCGCCCCUCGGAAGGCCAUCAAGUCCCAAGUCUUGGCGGACUUUGUGGCUGAAUGGGUCGACACCCAGCUUCCAGCGGCUCCGAUCCAGCUGGAACUCUGGACCAUGUUUUUCGACGGGUCACUGAUGAAAACAGGAGCGGGCACGGGCCUGCUCUUCAUCUCACCCCUCGGGAAGCACCUCCGCUACGUGCUGCGCCUCCAUUUCCCGGCGUCCAAUAAUGUGGCCGAGUACGAGGCUCUGGUUAACGGGUUGCGCAUCGCCAUCAGGCUAGGGGUCUGACGCCUCGACGCUCGUGGCGACUCGCAGCUUGUCAUCGACCAAGUCAUGAAGAACUCCCAUUGCUGCGACCCGAAGAUGGAAGCCUACUGCGAUGAGGUUCGGCGCCUGGAGGACAAGUUCUACGGGCUCGAGCUCAACCACAUCGCCCGACGAUACAACGAGACUGCGGACGAGCUGGCUAAGAUAGCCCCGGGGUGGACAACGGUUCCCCCGGACGUCUUCUCCCGAGACCUACAUCAACCCUCAGUUAAGACCGACGACACGCCCGAGCCUGAGAAGGUCUCGGCCCUGCCCGAGGUGCCCUCGGCUCAGCCCGAGGCACCCUCGGCCCCUGAGGGUGAGGCACUGCGCGUCGAGGAAGAGCGGAAUGGGGUCCCGCCUAAUCGAGACUGGCAGACCCCGUACCUGCAAUAUCUCCACCGAGGAGAGCUGCCCCUCGAUCGAGCCGAAGCUCGGCGACUGGCGCGGCGCACCAAUUCGUUCGUCUUGCUGGGGGACGGGAAGGAGCUCUACCACCGCAGCCCCUCAGGCAUCCUCCAGCGAUGCAUAUCCAUCGCCGAAGGUCAGGAGUUAUUACGAGAAAUACACUCGGGGGCUUGCGGUCACCACGCAGCGCCUCGAGCCCUCGUUGGGAACACCUUCCGACAGGGUUUUUACUGGCCAACCGCGGUGGCCGAUGCCACUAGGAUUGUACGCACCUGCCAAGGGUGUCAAUUCUACGCGAAGCAGACCCACCUGCCCGCUCAGGCUCUACAGACAAUACCCAUCACCUGGUCAUUUGCUGUGUGGGGUCUGGACCUCGUCGGUCCCUUGCAGAAGGCACCCGGGGGCUACACGCACCUGCUGGUCGCCAUCGACAAAUUCUCCAAGUGGAUCGAGGUCCGACCCCUGAACAACAUUAGGUCCGAACAGGCGGUGGCGUUCUUCACCAGCAUCAUCCAUCGCUUUGGGGUCCCGAAAUCCAUCAUCACCGACAACGGCACCCAGUUCACCGGCAGAAAGUUCCUGGACUUCUGCGAGGAUUGCCACAUCCAGGUGGACUGGGCCGCCAUAGCUCACCCCAUGACGAAUGGGCAAGUAGAGUGUGCCAACGACAUGAUUCUGCAAGGGCUCAAGCCACGGAUCUACAACGACCUCAACAAGUUCGGCAGGCGAUGGAUGAAGGAACUCCCCUCGGUGGUCUGGAGUCUGAGGACAACGCCGAGCCGAGCCACGGGCUUCACGCCGUUCUUUCUAGUCUAUGGGGCCGAGGCCAUAUUGCCCAUAGACUUAGAAUACAGUUCCCCGAGGACGAGGGCGUACGACGACCAAAGCAAUCGAACCAACCUAGAAGACUCACUGGACCAGCUGGGAGAGGCUCAGGACAUGGCCUUACUACACUCGGCGCGGUAUCAGCAGUCCCUGCGACGCUACCACGCCCGAGGGGUUCGGUCCCGAGACCUCCAGGUGGGCGACUUGGUGCUUCGGCUGCGACAAGACGUCCGAGGGCGCCACAAGCUCACGCCUCCCUAGGAAGGGCCAUUUAUCAUCGCCAAGAUUUUGAAGCCCGGAACAUACAAGCUGGCCAACAGUCAAGGCGAGGUCUACAUCAACGCUUGGAACAUCCGACAGCUACGUCGCUUCUACCCUUAAGAUGUUUUCAAGUCGUUCAUACACCUUGUUUACAUACGCCAAUAAAGUCUAACCAUCAAGGAAGGGUCAGCCUUGCCUCGGCAAAGCCCGACCCUCCCUCAGGGGCUAGAAGGGGCGAACCCCUUCUGCGUCAAAAUUUUCCUCGGAAAAAGUCUUCCAUCAAAAUGACUUUCGCGUCUCCCGGCUAUAUUAGUAACAGGACCCCAAGAAACGAAUAAGAGUACAUGUAAGUGGCAAGGCCGACCGAGCCGAGGGACUCCUACGCCUCUGGGAUACGGAUACCUCACUCGUCACCUACCGCGAAAAAUAACUCUUACUUGGGUAGGCAAUCCUUCUACUGACGAACGAGUCCGGAUACGCAAAACAGGAGGAAAAGAGACACAGCCUUAUAUUACGACGAUAAAGUGUUCGGGCCUCGGCGACCGCAAAAGACACAUAUGCAUUCAAAAUAAACUGCUCCGGCACAAUCAGGCGUCGCCCGGAGAAGGAGCCGCGCCCUCGGCUUCGUUUCCACCCUCGUCGAGAUCCGCCCCGGCCUCGGACGACGGAGCAAGCGGGAGGAUCUCUGCUUCGAAGGUGGUUGCCAGCACCGCGCUUGGGCCCGCGGCGGCCGCGUCAAGCCUCUGGACUUCGGCCAGGGCAGCUUCAUCUUCGUCGGGAAGGCAAUACACCUCGCUGACCCUCUCCAGAUCCACGUCGUAGUGGGAAGCGAGCACGGCGAAGGCCCGCCUGACGCCGUGAUGCAGCAUCUCGCGGAGUCUGCCGCGCGCGUGGUCACCCAAGGCCUGCAGGUGACUCUGAGGGGAGCUCCCCGAGGGGACGUCGUCGUGACCAAAGACCCGACAGAAGGCCGAGAUGGCCUCGGACAUGGCCGCGUGGUCGGCCUCCCUCUGCUUGGCCGCCUGGGCAAGUGCCUUGGUGGACUCAUCGAGGGCAGACUCGAGCUCUGCAAACAGCCAAAGCAGAAGACUUCAAACACGAGUUGAAGAAUGAAGCUAAAUCAAAAUCUUAAAACAGCCAAGACAUACCUUCGGCUCGGGCACGCUGCUCCGAGGAUGCGGCUUGGGCCACGGCAAGGUCUGCCGCAAGGGCUGCAGCCCGAGCAGACGCCUCGGCUAACUGGUCUCCAAGGGCCUCAGCCCGGCUUUCAGCCUUGACGGCCCAGCCCCGAGAUUGGUCCCGCUCGCCGAUGACCUGGCCAAGCUCCAACUGCUGCCGCUGCGCCUCUGCGCGUGCCACCGCUGCCUCCGCUUCCAGAUCGACACAAAGCAACCGAAGGUCCGCCACCUCGGCGCUCCAUUGGGAGAGGCGCUCGGUAGCCCCGGCAAGCGUGGUCCUCAGGAACCACAGCGAACCCCAGACAUCGGCCUCGCGUCGGAUGAACGAUGACUUGGCGGCGCUCAGAUCCGUCAGAUCCUGAGGAAAGGAAGCGGGGCGUCACAAAGAAUGCCUUGAUCACGUGAAAGGUAUGCUUGAAAUCCUUACCUAGAGGAUCUUGGGAACGUCCCUGCAAAGGACCUCCAAGGUCGACCGAAGCGACCCCACCGUCGCCUCGGCACACUCACGAAGCCCGUCCCAAGACUGCUCCUCUCGCUCAUUGUCGAGAACGAAGAGGGGAUCCGAAGCACCACGGGUCCAAAACCAGAGCAACUGACGCCGCCCGUCGGGACUGCACCGCACGGGGACGAGGUUGCCGCUCCCCAGGACGGGUCGCGGUUCUGCGCCCCCCUCCUCCGAGGCAUCAAGUAGCGACGCCUCGGCCAUCUCAGCGUCGGCGGCGACGGGUGACUCCACGGCCAGAACGGCAACCGCCUCGGCAGAAGCCGGUGCCAGCGCCGGCAACGCGUCUGGUGGGCUCGAGGUCGCAGCCGCGCCAGCAGUCUCCCUCGGCACGACGGUCGCCUCGACGAAGGAGUCGGCCUCGGGAGCUCGCCCCACGGCAACCUGUGCCGCCUGGGCCCCCCCGCUUUGGGGCUUCUUGUGAGGAGGCCAGCUGGCCGGCGAGGCCCGGUGCGGCACUGGCUGCAGAAGCCGGCGCCGUCUUGAGGGCCUUCAGGGGAGCCAGACCGGUCGAACCGUGCCUCCGUUUGCUGGGAAGAAAAGGAAGAGCAGGAUCAGGGCACACGAAGGAGGAGCCAGGACGAAAAUAUCCUAAGAUACUUACCCACUCCGGGCCACGAUCAAACGUGCCUGUGGGGAGGUCUCUCGAGCCUCGGUCCCCGAAGGUACCACCGAAGUUAGCCCCGCUGCCAGCUUCGGCACCAUCCUUGCCUCGGGCGCCCGAGGCACCAGAGGGACGGACUGCCCAGGCGCAGCCACGGCGACCCGAGGAUCACCCUCCUGUGCAGUCGGCACGGGCAAUGGUUCUUGGGGAACAGGUGGGUCGGCCUGACACCCCGGGGUCACCUCAACUACCUCGGCCAAGGGGUCAAGUACCCCCUCGGCCUGCCCCCGUUCUUCGGACCGGGACCCCAACGUCCUGGCCCCAGAUACCGACGGUGCUAGCCCGCUCGGGGGCUGGCUCGACGACCCCUGGCCCAGCCUCAGAUCCGGGCUGAGGCCAAGGCGGGCAGCCAUGUCGUCGUCUUCAUCAUCAUCUUCAUCGUCGUCGUCGUCAUCGUCAGGCGUCUCCGACGAUGGCUCCCUCGGGAGCCCAUCCCUCUCCUGUCGACGGCGAAGCCUCUCCAAGGCGUCUCGAGCCCGCAUCCGUUCGCGGGCCCGAGCCUUCUUCGCGUCCUUCUUCUCCUUCCUCUUCUCCGCGGCGACCCUCCACGCGGCUCGGUCCACCGCGUCCUCUGGGACCGGUGGCAGGGAAGGCUUGUGAAACCCCACCUCCUGGAGACGGACGAAAAGUCUCGGUUGUGAGAACCAAGGGCAAUCCGACACAAGAAGGAAGAAGGAGCGUACACUCACCAGGGACACACACCCGCGAUCGGGACGCGUCGAGAGCUGGGAAAAGGCCCCGGCGUCUAACUUCCCUACCGUUCCGGCUACCCGCCUGUGGAGGUCAUCGGCGGGAAGGGGGUCCGAGGACAUCUGCAAACCCUCCAAGUCGACCCCCGGUGUCAUCUCCCAAAGCGGCAGUCGCCGCUCCGUCAAGGGGAGCACCCUCCGGCAAUGAAUGGCGGCAACCACCCCCGCGGCAGUGAGCCCUCCUUCUUGCAGCUCCUCCAAGGCCUUCAAAAGGGGCUGGAGAUUCUUCUGUCUCUCGUGCGGGGCCCCGUAGUGCCAGUUACCGCCAGCGGCGGUCACCACUCGUUGAGAAAACGACGGGAGCCCCCCGUCGUCAUUCCGGAGAUAAAACCACCGGCGCUGCCACCCCUUGUUCGAAGACGCGAGGAUAGCAGGGAUGUACUGCUGCGCCCGCGCCUGCCUCAACUGGAGGAUGCAGCCACCAGCCCGCACCGCCAUGCGAACUCUUCUUUCCCCCGUCGUCGAGGCAAAAAGCUCCGCAGAGAAGAGAUGGGUCCACAGGUCCCAGUGGGGGGCAAUCCCCAAAAACCCUUCGCAAACCACCGCGAAGAUGGCUGCUUGCGCGAUGGAGUUGGGGCAGAGAUUGUGCAGCUCCACCCCAUAGACGUGCAGAAUCGCCCGCAUGAAACGACUUGCCGGCACUCCGAACCCCCGCUCAUGAAAAGAGACGAAGCUCAGCAUAUACCCCGGCAGCGGGGACGGGUCGGCUCCGCUCGGAGGGGCCAUCCACUCUGGUUGCGAGUCACCGGAGAGAGGACGAAGCAAACCAUCGGCAACAAGGGCCUCCAGAUCGUCCGCCGUGACGGUGGAGAAAGGCCACGUGUCGCGCGGCGAAACAACAGUCACCCGGUCGGCCAUCACCAAGCAAAAGAGGUGGUGGCGGAGCGGACGAGGUGCGCGGUUUUCUUUCUCUGGCUAUUCCCUCAGGUUGCGGAAACCUAAGUGGGAGGCGAGCAGCAGAGUAAAGAACCGUCACCGGUCCCUCUCCCGAAUAUAUAAAGGCCCAGGCGAGACCCGUUCAACACUUCGCCUAAACCCGUCGCGAGAUUCAAAACUCAAAGGCGAGACGCCCGUUCCUCGAACGGCUCGUGCACGCACAACGGCUACCCCGCGAACCACUCGUCCCGUCGCAUUAACUCUGCGACAGGACAUGCGACACCUUUGGUAGGCGAAGCAGGCGACGCUUCACCUCCACCAUGAUAACCGCGUCCAAAAAGGUACGCCACGUCGUUCAAAUUCAUAUCCCUUUUUCUCUUCCCCUUUCUCUCUCUUCCUACAGGGACCGGGAAAGGGGAUACUCCGAAAGGGAUCCUUCUCUGCGAAGGAAGCGGGCCCUGAGCCCCCCUACUGAUCAGAGGUUCGAAGGUUGGCCCCUCGGAAGGGUUCAACAGCCGCCUUAGAGCACUCAGGCUCCGCGCCCACUACUGGUCAGAGGUUCGAAGACUGGCCCCUCGGAAGGGUUCGACGACCGCCUCAGGCCACUCGGGCUCCGCGCCCACUUCUGAUCAGGGGUUCGUAGGCUGGCCCCCAAAGGGUUCGACAGCCGCCUCAGAGCACGCAGAGCGAGGGAUGACCCUGGGUACGUUCGAUACAUAACCAAGCCUCGGGCUACACUCCCGAGGUACCCUAGGACAUUUCCGAGACCGACGGGAACGAUUUUGUAAUGGAAUCCCACCAGAGGGAGGCAUCGAGCCCUCGGACCCCGUCAAAAGGGGACCGGGUCCGGCGAAUCACCUGCAGGUACUUUUGGAGCGCGCCUCCGGGCCACUAGCCGACCCCUAACGAAUGGGGCACGGGCGUCCACUCGGAUUAUCCGUUAGCAACUCACUGGAGACACUAUGUUCGGCGCCCUCCGAGGGCAACAUGGCGCUUUCCCCCCUCCUCCUUGCGGGAAGGCGACGCAGGGGCGUAUGAAAAAAGCCGAGUCUGUCCUUGACCGUCCUCUCGCUCUGUGCGGGGGCUCGGGGGCUGCUCUCGCAAACCCAUCUCUGGCCAAACCGUUGACAGCGUCAACAUACCAGCCUGAGAACUUGGGACCUGACUAAGCACCUGGGCAACGAUCAGUUCGCAUGAGGGAACAACCAAACCAGCCGAGCCAUCACAAAAGGCACUAAGACCUCGAAGGAGUCAAAACACUCCUCCGAGGCCUCGGGGGCUACACCCGGCAGGUGCGCUCGCGCGCACCCACCGGAACGAAAUGCAACCGAGAAAGGUCGGUCCCCUUGCAAAAAAGUGCGACAAAAUCCUCCAAACGAGUGCCAACACUCCCUUUGAGGCUCGGGGGCUACUGUCGGGGACCAUAAUUAGGGGUACCCCCAAGACUCCUAAUCUCAGCUGGUAAACCCCAUCAGCACAAAGCUGCGAAGGCCUGAUGGGCGCGAUUCAGGCCAAGGCUCCGCUCAAGGGACACGAUCCGCCUCGCCCGAGCCCGACCUCGGGCAAAGACAGCCGACCCCGGAAAAUUCAUGCCUCGCCCGAGGAUCCCCUCAAGCAACGGAUGCACCGUCGAUUCGCCCGAGGCACAGCUCGGGUAGGCUUCGCGGAGAAGCAACCUUGGCCAAAUCGCCACACCAACCGACCAUAUCGCAGGAGCAUUUAAUGCAAGGAUCGCCUGACAUCUUAUCCUGACGCGCGCUCUUAAGUCGACAGGGCCGAAGUGACCGUGGUCACUUCGCCGCUCCACUGACCGACUUGACAGGAAUACAGCGUCGCCUGCCCUGCUCCGACUGCCGUGCCACUCGCCAGAGUGAGGUCGACAGCGGCUAAGCCCAACCUCGGGCGACAUAGGAAGCUCCACCUCGCCCGACCCCUUACGUCAGCAAGGAAACGUCAGCAAGGAUCCGACAGCCCCGACAGCUGUACUUCCGCAGGGCUCCAGCUCUCCUCCGACGACCACGACAUCACAUGAACAGGGCAACAACACCUCUCCGACAGCCACGAUGGCAUGUACAUAGGGCACUAGCUCCUCUCUGCUAGACACGUUAGCACAUUGCUAUGCCCCCCAUUGUACACCUGGGCCCUCUCCUUACGUCUAUAAAAGGAAGGUCCAGGGCUCUCGUACAGAGGGUUGGCCGCGCGGGAGAACGGGCCGACGCAUAAGGCUCUCGCUCUCUCUCUCUCCCACGCGAACGCUUGUAACCCCCUUGUUGGAGACUUGUUCUCAAAUGCUAUGAGUUAAGAACAAGGCAACAUAGAAAAUGUUAAUCGUUAAAGUCCUUCGUCCUCCGAAGCAUUAUUUCCCUUAGGAUGUAAUGGCUUGCGGACGAAGGUUAUGAAGGACAUACCUUCAUAUAUUCAUUAAACAAUGGCGAAGGAUAAAAUAUAAAGAAUAUAAAAGACAACAUGAACAAUCAUAUAUUAUUAUCGGGUAUAAACAAAAACAUUGUUGAAUUACAAGUGUACCUUCAAUCGGAAGGAGAUGACAGUACAAGCGUGACGCCAAAAGCGAAUGCCUAGUCAGCGUGAACGGUACGGGAGUACUGUUCACCUAUUUAUAGGCACGGGACGCAACCCAUACAAAAUUACAUUCAUGCCCUUUACAUCUGAUAAUAAUUCUAUGGUAAUCUAUCAAGGUCUGAAUAGCCUUUUCAUCUUUAAGUCGGUUUCAUUCUCUGCAACCACGCCGAAGCUUUCUUGCUGACAUCUUCGGUGUUGUAUCAAGACCUUCGUAUUAUCCUGGUCCUCUCCUGGCGUGAUAACGACUUGAGUUCGAAGGUACCUGCUCACACAUUAUACUUCCAGAAAUACUGUUAAAUCCUGUUUUUGAGGACCUUCGGAUACCGAAGGUCCCCAACAGUAGCCCCUCGCAAUAUUAAUUUGUUUAAAAUAACGAAUUUAGAUUGCGACGUGAACGAAGGCCUUACGCCGAAGGUCCGAAAAAACACCUUCCCUUUGCUAGAAUAGCAACAUUCACUGACAAGCGGGGUCUUUCAACUUUCAACGCACUUGGCGUAUAAAUACGGCCAUACCGUAAACGCAUUCGACACGCUCUCUGGCCAACUGCUCCCGCUCACUCAAUUUUUAGCUCUUGUGUACUACAAUUUGCUAAGCUUUUAGUUUUGAAGCUUCGGCUUUGAAAAUAGUUUUUUAGUGUCUCCGAAGAUGUCCGAGGAUAAGAAGACUGCUGCUGAGACGAAGCUGAGCCUUGACGAAGAGAAAAAUUUGGGGUUUCUUAUAGCGAUGUCAAAGACCAACACGGAAAAAAUCACCAAGGAGAUUCUGGAAGGUUUGUCUGAGGAUACUGGCGACAGUGACAGCUACGAUGUGGACAGUGGUGGUGAAGACUCCGAAGAUCGUCCAUGGCGACCAAGCCAUUCAGUUUAUGGUAAAUCAACUAUCAAAGAAAGUCAUCUUGUCAAUAUGAGAGGAAGGUAUUUCCGGGAUUUGUCCAUUGUGAGGGCCGACGAAGGGGAAAAAACUUGCCCACACCCUGAAGAGAAUGAGGUCGUAGUGUACCGAAGCUUUUUGAAAGCUGGACUGCGAUUUCCUUUGAGCAGCUUCGUUGUGGAGGUGCUGAAAAUGUUUGAAAUCUAUCUCCAUCAACUUACCCCCGAGGCAAUUAUAAAGCUGAAUAUCUUCGUGUGGGCCGUGAGAAGCCAAGGUCUGAAGCCUGACGCAAAAAGCUUCUGCAAUAUACAUGAAUUAUCAUAUGAAACAAAACCCUGGGGUAAGGAACAGUAUCACAACAAUUUUGGCUGCUACAGUUUUGUUUCUCGGUCCGGGUCAAGCUGCCCCGUGCCAACCUUUCGGAAAAGAUGGCCCGGAGACUGGAUGACAGAAUGGUUCUAUGUGAAGAAUGAUCUGACAAUACGAGAAGAUAUCAAGGGUAUAAUCAUGCGCCCUAUUUGGCAAAGCUUCGGCCUUCGGAGGCCGAAGGUUGAAAUGAAUGAAGCUGCCGAAGAAUGCCAGAGGGCCUUCGGCGCAGUCUGUUCUUUCAUUGGGACAAGAGACUUAGUACAAGAGCAUAUUGCCUUCAGGGUAUGGCCGCUCGCGGAGAAUUGGGAAAUGCCACAAGAGACCGUGAAAGAAGCCGACGAAGGUGGACUUAUCAGGUUGAAGUACACUUUUAAAUUUGGAGACAAAUUCGUUGAGCCAGAUGAUGACUGGCUAAAAAGUAUUGAAAAUUUAAGUGAUGAACUGCUUGGGGCUUACUCAAAGGCCGAAGACACUGCAAUGUCUGCAGCCUUCGGAGGCCGAAAAAAGAAGAGGCUGAAUCGGGUAUUUGAUGCAAUCGGGUUUGUCUACCCUGACUAUUGCUAUCCUGUUCGAAGGCAGAAAAGAAAAAACACAACCUCUGCAAAAGAAGAAACUACAAUUGCUCCUAGUGAGCCAGAACUGAAAAGAAAGAAGAUAAAGGUCCUCACACAUCGGCCGCGCUAUAUUGAACCAGCUUCGGUGCCUGAGUUUACCGGAGAAACUACUACGGCCACCGAAGCUGAAAAACCAACCAAGCCAACUUUGCUGCCAGAAGUCACAGAAACGGCCGAAGUGCCAACAAAGAUAGAACUGGAACAAUCAAAGAUUUUGCUGUCAGAAACGAAAGAGAAGGCCGAAGCGCCGUCCACAGAAAAAAUGGAAGAGGUAAAAGAAGCAACUGAGGGCUCCAAAACAUCAGAAGUUUUGAGUCCUACAGCAAACAUUGAGACAGUAAAAAAUCAAAAAGUGCCAGCAGUGACUCCGAAGAGAAAGAGAAUGGCUAAUGUGCUAGAUGUACUGGAAACGAUCAAAUCUUCAAGCACACCUCCGAAGAAGGCUGCUGUCGUUCCUGAGACAACUGAAAUUUCUGGUUCUAAAUCUCCAGAGCAAAAGACUGAAGCCGAAGCUGUGCCCUCAGAGCCCGCAAAGAUAAAACCCUUGGAAAGUGAGGCAGAAAAAAUAACAACGCCGACUUUUGUUGAAGAAACCGGUGUCAUUACCCCCGAAGCAUCCCCCAAAAUUCGUGAUUAUAUUGUUCGUCAUGCUUCGGGGAAAAAACUAUCGGAAAAAGAAGAGCAAGAGGCCCAGCACUACGCCCAAAAACUGAAAUAUCCAAAGGGGGCGUUAAUAUUCAAUGGCAGUGGAGAAGAAGACUUCUUGUAUUGUCUUCCCGACAGCAAGGAAAUUUCUGUCUGUCGGGAGAUGAGCAGGAGCUUCGGAUUCCCAACUUUAGAAGACGGACUUUCGGUGCUGUCAAAGAACGAUCUAGCCGACAGCCUAGCUUACAAUAGCUUAAAGGUGUGACAAAUGAAAUCCUUGUAUUUUUUGUUGAGUUCAAAAUUUUUCGUUUACUUAAACCUAUUGACGCAGACAUAUUUCUCUCUGCAGGGGCUGAUACUCAGCAAUGCCCUCAGGGCACAGAAAGAUGCUGAAGACGAAGGGUGUUCUAUAGCCCUGAGCAACCUUCGUUCCGAAGUUAUUGAACUGAGGAACGAAGGUCUCGAAAAAGAUAAAAUGUUAUACUCAUUGAUAAAUAAAAUAAAGGAGGACGAAGCUGCUUUUAAAAGUCAAGCUGAAGCUCAGAAGCGCGAAAUUGAAGACCUUCGGAAACAACUGGCCAGAGCCAAGGAAGAACGCAUACUUGAAGAAACAAAGCGAGAACUCAGCGACCAAUGGGCCGAUCACCUAGAAAUAACUGUUGAAGAGCUUCGUUCGUCCAAAAAGAGAUGUUAUAACAAGUCUAUAGAGUGUGUUAAAAAGUUAAAAGCUAGCUUCGCCAAGGUUGGCGCCUUCUCAAGCGAAGAAAACUUUACGAGAGGCAAUCCCGAAGGUCCCAUCGAAUGGAUCGACCACGAAGCUGAAGCCUUUGAAGAAAUUUUAACUAGCCGAGGGGAUAUAUGUGCCUUCUCUGGUGCCAGAGGGAUUGCCACCAUCUUAGAGAAGAAGGGCUGCGAACAUGUAAAAAUUUUAGCACAGUCCGAAGCUGCUUUGUCCCUUGAAGAUGCAAGAGAUCCCUCGGCCGAAGCUAGUAUAAUUGGUGGGAAAUUUUUUACCGAUAUCUGGGAUAAUGGUGGCCGAGAAAUGGCCGGAGAAAUUAUUCGAAGAAGUGAAAAGGGCAUUCACGAUGCUAGAGAAGUAGCUGAGGCUGCUGAAAAGAGCGCAGAGGCCGAAGGUUAAUUAGGUAUUAACUAAUAGUUUUUAUCGUGUUUUAAUCUUAGGUUUUAAGAUUUGUUUGCGAUUUGUAAUAGCAAUGUAGCCGUAUCCUGUCUUGCUUCAGAUCCGACUAAAGCGUCUUCGGGCCCUCAGCCGAAGGGAGACGACGAAAUUAAAAAGAUGGCUGAAGAUAUUAUGGACGAAGUCGUCAACCGGCUCCUGAACGAGGCUGCAGAAGUCGUUUUGAGAGAAGAUUAAGUAUUUUUGUAAAAACUUCUGAAAUGUAAUAUAGUGUAACAUUUUGUGACCCCAAAUGUAAUAUACCUAUUUUUGUUACUCAAUUCUUUACGAUGCAUGAAACUUUACACGUACCGCUUUUGAGUCUUUGACGAAAAAACACCUUCCCUUCUUUUCAUGCUUCGUGAAGAAAAAUUUUUCUUUGUCACAACAAUAUCCAAUGUUCUGAUGAAUAAUAUCCAGGCUUCGUGAAAAUAUUUUCCGAAGCUAUAUUUCCGAAGAUCAAUGAUGUAUCUUUUUGUGACUAUGAUUUCUCCCUUUCGGAGUGUUCUUCUGUAGAUUAAUAAUGUAUCCACCUCUUGUGCCAUGUGCAAAAUGAUGUAUGAUGCUUAUGCUAUGCGAGAUGAUGUGAUGAUGAUAUGUUAUGUGAGAUGAUGUUUAUUCCGAAGAUACAUACACAUCCCUGCAAUAAAACAGUCUUUUAUAAGCCUCCCUUAGGAGCUUCUUCGCCUUUUACUUCAGCGGAAUCAGCGUUUAUUUUUCGCUGUAAGCCUCCCUUAGGAGCUUCUUCGCCUUUUACUUUCAGCGGUAUUCGCGUUGACUUUUCGCGCUUCGCCUUUUACUUAGGCGGUAUCAGCGUUGACUUUUCGCUGUAUGCUCUGCAUUCCCUUUGGAACGACUUUGGAGCAGAAAACUUACACUGCGCUCCCUUUGGAACGACUUUUUGUGACUUCGGCAAACUUACUCUGCGUUCCUUAGAACGACUUUUUAUUGCUUCGAAGAAUUUUCGAUAGUUCGAAGGUCCUUUUUAUUGUCACAAACCUGUGAAGAAAACAUAUUUUUCUUGUAGAAAUCAACGAAACUAAUUACAUGAAACCUAAACAAUGUCCUUUAUUACAGAAAAUAAAACUGAAUGAAAAAGAUUGUUAUUAAAGUAGGAUAUUCGUCAAUAGAUGUGCUUUGACUCUGGCACAGUGCUAUUGACUGUACGAGCUUCGGACUGCUCUCUGAAAUCCCUCUGGUGUGGGGCAUACUGGCUCCCUUCUGGCUGCUGGCCUUGUUGCAACGGAGGUGGAGGCGGAGGCUGUUGCCAGGAGGCUUGAGGCUGGCUCGCCGAAGCAACAGAAACUGCAGGAUGGUUGCCCACAUAUUCUGGGAUGUAGGGCGAAUGAUACGAAGCUGUAUGCAUGACCUGCUUCGGCUGAGCUUGUUGUGCUGCGGCUUCAGCUAUUUCCUUUUGCUUCUGAAUAGUAACAUGGCACAUCCUGGUAGUAUGGCCUUUGUUCUCACCGCAGAAUAAGCAAAAGAUUCUUCUCGGUUGAUCUCCAAAUCUUCCUCCAAAGCCCCUGGCGCCUUUGCCUCUUGGAGCUGGUGGUCGGAAGGAGCUUUGCUGUUGCCCCGAAGCCUGUGAGGAGCAUUGUGGCCUUUGCUGUUGACUUCCUCUGUCAUCAUUUUGUGUAGAGUUAUGAAUUGAUCUCACGUGCCUCGGGUAGAACCUCCCUCCGAAGCCCCUGGUCAUUUCAGAAAACCUGAAAGCCUCCUCCCUUCUUUGGCGAAAAUCAUUAUCGGCCCGAAUGUACUCAUCCAUCUUCUGGAGAAGCUUCUCCAAAGUUUGAGGAGGCUUCCUGGCGAAGUACUGAGCUGACGGACCUGGCCGAAGCCCCUUGAUCAUGGCCUCGAUGACAAUUUCAUUGGGCACCGUAGGUGCCUGUGCCCUCAAACGCAAGAACCUUCGGACAUACGCCUGAAGGUAUUCUUCAUGAUCCUGAGUGCACUAGAACAGAGCCUGAGCAGUGACCGGCUUCGUCUGAAAUCCUUGAAAGCUAUUUAACAACAAGUCCUUCAGCUUCUGCCAUGAAGUGAUUGUUCCUGGUCGAAGGGAGGAAUACCAGGUUUGAGCAACACUUCUGACAGCCAUAACGAAAGAUUUGGCCAUGACUGAAGCAUUGCCACCAUACGAAGACACCGUUGCUUCGUAGCUCAUCAAAAACUGCUUCGGGUCUGAGUGGCCAUCGAAUACGGGGAGCUGAGGCGGCUUGUAGGACGGAGGCCAAGGUGUAGCCUGCAGCUCAGCGGACAGAGGAGAAGCAUCAUCAAAAACAAAAUUCCCAUGAUGGAAAUUGUCAUACCAGUCAUCUUCGUUGGGAAAACCCUCUUGAUGAAGGUCUUGAUGCUGAGGCCUUCGGUGUUGCUCAUCCUGAGCAAGAUGACGAACUUCUUCAGAGGCUUCGUCUAUCUGCCUCUGCAGUUCAGCUAGUCUGGCCAUCUUUUCUUUCUUCCUCUGUACUUGUUGAUGAAGCAUCUCCAUAUCUCUGAUUUCUUGAUCUAUCUCGUCCUCUGGUGGUGUCGGACUGACAGCCUUCCUUUUCUGGCUUCGGGCCUCCCGCAGGGAGACUGUCUCCUGAUUGUGGUCCAGUGGCUGCAGAGCUGCAGCCCCAGUCGCUGAAGCCUUCUUCGGCGCCAUAACGAAGGUUUAUGAUCGCCGAAGGUGCUCAAAAAACUCAGAGUGGAAGUGAGUUCACCGGAGGUGGGCGCCAAUGUUGGAGACUUGUUCUCAAAUGCUAUGAGUUAAGAACAAGGCAACAUAGAAAAUGUUAAUCGUUAAAGUCCUUCGUCCUCCGAAGCAUUAUUUCCCUUAGGAUGUAAUGGCUUGCGGACGAAGGUUAUGAAGGACAUACCUUCAUAUAUUCAUUAAACAAUGGCGAAGGAUAAAAUAUAAAGAAUAUAAAAGACAACAUGAACAAUCAUAUAUUAUUAUCGGGUAUAAACAAAAACAUUGUUGAAUUACAAGUGUACCUUCAAUCGGAAGGAGAUGACAGUACAAGCGUGACGCCAAAAGCGAAUGCCUAGUCAGCGUGAACGGUACGGGAGUACUGUUCACCUAUUUAUAGGCACGGGACGCAACCCAUACAAAAUUACAUUCAUGCCCUUUACAUCUGAUAAUAAUUCUAUGGUAAUCUAUCAAGGUCUGAAUAGCCUUUUCAUCUUUAAGUCGGUUUCAUUCUCUGCAACCACGCCGAAGCUUUCUUGCUGACAUCUUCGGUGUUGUAUCAAGACCUUCGUAUUAUCCUGGUCCUCUCCUGGCGUGAUAACGACUUGAGUUCGAAGGUACCUGCUCACACAUUAUACUUCCAGAAAUAUUGUUAAAUCCUGUUUUUGAGGACCUUCGGAUACCGAAGGUCCCCAACACCCCUACUGCAAGCGCAUCCAUCCGCCCUGGGCGCAGGACAACACGAAGGCCGCGGGUUCCCCUUACUGUUCUCCCCCCUUUGUGUCCCGUCUCGCGCCGACCCAUCUGGGCUGGGACACACAGCGGCAAUUUACUCGUCGGUCUAGGGACCACCCGAGGUCGAAACGCCGACAAGAUUGUAUCAUUAACUUAAGCAAACAAUUCAAUUUCUGAAAUCUGUACGGAAAUUGGACAGAUUCAUUUACUGAAUUUGUAAAAAGCAUAACUUUUAAACGAUGAGACUUAUGGCUAUCAAAUUUUAACACAAGUAAGAUAAUAAAGUUAUCUACAACUUUUCUAUAUGGAUUUUCUACAGAAACAUGAUUUAGUUCAUCAAACAUACAAAACGAGGAAAUCACCGUGUGCAGUCCAAAACAACAACUAAUAAUUUUCAGCCCCUAUUUACUUCAUGAAACAUGCAUGAUUUUGUUUUCUUCUAAUUUUUCACUAACUCUUGUAAUUAUAAAAGGGGUGUUAUUUUAGCACCAUAUGAAACUAUCUAAUUUGGGGCUGGAAUUUUUAUGAGGCAUAGGUAAUGACAAAUCAUGACUAAUGUAUAAAUUUCACAUGCUCAGAUUUUAUAUUUUAUUUACUAAAAAAUAACAAAUUGUUAAUGCAAUAAAGCAUGUGAGAGCAAGUUAAAUCUAAAACUAAUUAUUUUCUGUGGAUGCAUAACCAUAUUAAGUUUUAUUAGGACAAUAUAAUACUAUGCAAGGACAGUGGAACACCAUUUUCCAUUUUUACACUCAGACAUUAUUUAUAAACCAUUUAAAACUACCUAAGGUGCAUUAAACAAGUUAAAUCACUAACUUAAUCAUACAUGCACAACAAUUCAUGAAAUUUUUACCAGUCACCAAGCAUCACACCAAGAGUCUACUGUAAAUAUUUCAACUCAUUUGGAGCACUAGAGAUACAGAUCCAAAAAUAAUAAGAAAAUAAAUCUUCUUUUUCCUAUUUAACAUGAUUUAAUUAGCACACCAAGAAAACAGUGAACAACAUAUAAGUUUUCUAUUUUUCCUUGAUGGAGUAUGACAACAUCUAACUAACAAAACAGGUUUCAUCAUUUUUGGAUUUUUAUAAAUAAAAUUAUGGAGAGAAGCAAGUUCGUUUAUUCUCUAAACCAGUUUUUAAAUACGAAUUUCUACAGAAAAACUUUUCCACUAAAACAUACAAACAUAUAGAUACAAUAGUUAGAGCAUUUCAUAAGGAAGCCAACAAAACAAAUUUCGUGAUUUUUGGGGCUCCGAAACUCAAGAUAUGAAUUUUAGAACAUAACACAAAAAUCUGCAACUUUGUAUACUCACAUCUCGCCUCGGGCCUACUUGUCAUAGACUCAGGGAUCUUCUUCUACCUUAGACCUGAACGUGAGCACACCGGUUUGCUGCAGGUUCGAGGGCUCCAUGGCCAUGGGAAGGGAUCCACGCUGCUGCCAUGGGAGAAGAGAAGAGAGGGAUGGCUCCACAGCAGCGCACCAAGGAGAGCCCGAGCAGAGGGGGAGAGAUGGCGUGGGGGAAGAGAAGAGAGAGGGCAGGGGCUGCCAUUUAUAGAGCCAAGCUCUGGACAUGUCAGCAAGCUGCAGCAGGUGGCAGGUGCUACAGUGACAACCUUGGACGGCGUGUUUUAGCAUUUUCUGCUUGGAAUCGGAUCUUGGUUGCUGCACAAAAUAUCUUUCUUGAUCUACACUCUAUAAUUUUUGUACAGAACUUAAGGUGAUUCGGGCACUGGUGAGAGAGUUAUAGACCCACAAAAAUUGGUUUGUCAGAGGUUAGAAAUCAGUGGAAACUGGUGAAAACUGAGUGUCAAAGCAUGUCAAAUGGAAUCGGAUGAAUGCCAUCUUUCAAUAUGUUCUGUCCCCAUUAGUUAUUAACAACUUUUAUAUUUAGAAAAACUUGAGUUGUUUAACAAAAAUUUGGGAACGCGAGACGUCGACCCAAACGAUGCUGAUUUCAGACUUAGAAGAAUUCGAAUCCUGAAAUCAGAUUUUUAUUCUGUCUUGAUGGCACUGUUUGAGAUACUUAGAGAUUGAAUUAAGGCUUGAUUUAAAUAUAAAAUUUCUCGUAUUACACAGGUUUUACAAUGUUAAUUAAAGGUCAAACCUCAUACCUUGAAUAUAAAUAAAAGUUUCACUUUGGUCAAGGUAGUAUCAUUAUAAAGCUCUCAAUUAUAUUUUUAAGGCAAUCAGACUAUUUUAUUGACAUUUUCUUGGCAUGGACCCUCAAUAACUUUUGUUGUAAAGUUUAUAUAGAGUGUUUUGGAAAGGUUGGCAUAACUUGGUUGAAUGUCUAAAUUUGCUUUUACUUAAUCAGUAGUUUCAAGCAAGCGUAUGAUUUAUAAUUUCAUAUAAAUAUUUGGUUCAAACUUUGAGAAAUCUUUAGAAUACACUUGAUAGAUAGAGAUAAAUGAUGACAUAAAUAUAACAAGCUGAAUUGCAUAAGAAAUAAUUAGAGGUUGACACUAUAGAGAUUCCGUUGGAGAAUGCGGAUUCGGAUUAAGUAUUUGGACGUAGACCGAUUAUCAAGAAAGCGGAUUCGGACACCGAUUGAAUAACAUAACAACUAUCCAGAGUCCGAAUAAAUGAGUCUGGAUGGGAGUUGCGAGACGAGAUUGACUUUCGAAUUUGCAUUUGCUUCAAGAAUAAAAAGUUCUAACAGGCUCCAAAUUUGACUGUUCUUGAGAUCGAAUAAUUCCAAACUUGGUGGAACAUUCAUGAGUAACUUGAUGAAUGGAGAUAGAUGUGAUCGAGAAAUAGAAAUUUUCGCUGAGCAUCCGAGAUUAGGAUAAAUCUUCCGAAAUAACGCGAAAUAGACAUCUGGGGUGUCACAGAUAAGUACAUAACUGGUGGCAGUGGAUAAUUUUUUCAACUUUGGUUUGCCCUCAACGCAGCAAAACUAGCCCCCUACUUGAGAUUUCUAUUGUAAAAAAAACAGGUUGCGGUGGAAAAAUUAUUACAAAUUAGACCCCUUUAAUUUAGCUUCUACAUUUUUAAAGCAAAAGUCGACUCUAAGAGCAUCUCCAAGAGAAGAUGCAAACUUACUCCAAAACAAAUAUUAGUAAAGAAAACUGAUUUUCUUGUUCCAGUUGUUCUCUUAUUCUUCUCCGAAAAAAUCACAUCCGAUAUCGGUGUUCUCUCAUCCCUCAUAUUUUCGCGCGAGUCGUCCGUCCCCAACACACUUGCAUGAGCAUUGUUUCCAUGUUUUUUCCCGCACGCGCAGUUGCCGGCGCCUAGGGUGUGAAACAAGUGACUAGCGAUGCAUCAAUGAAGAAGCGUGCACCACAUGCAUAUUGGCACUUCCCCCGUGUAGCAACAGAUCACAAAAGCCCAUUUGGAAAGCCCGUACACAUAUACAAAGAAGGUUGCUUGGAGGAUUUUUUAUUUUAAAUUUGAGCCUAGUUCUUUGUUUUUUAAGGGAACUGUUGGAGUAUACACAAUAAUUCACUCAUAAAAUUUUUUAGUCUACCCCUAAUGACCAUUUUAGUGAAAACUUUUUAGCAUCCUCUUAAAGUUUCUCUAAAAACAGAACCAAACGGGGCCUAAAAUGACUACGGGCGGUCGUGGCGUGUCUGACCCUGGUUGCAUGCACAAAGCCACACAUACAUAUUCCAUGCAGGAUUUCUUACUCUACCCGUAGGGGAAUUGAAGUCUCUGUCUCACAAUAGCUUGCACAUAAACAACUUACACCAAAUAUAAGUAGUGAAGUGUAAAUAACAAAACAAACAAGAAACAACACACAGAGACGGAGACACAGAGAUUUUAUCCCAUAGUUUAGCCAAUCCUGAAAUGCUUGCUUACAUCCAUGUUGGAGUUAGCCAACCUGGCUUAGAGUCUAUUUCAACUUCUUUCUUUGUUUGCUCAAAUUCAUCACAGGUGACAGGUCAAGACUUCUCUUUAUAUUUGUUGGUGUUGCAGUAUAGCAGAACCGCGACUACCACAGUUUGAUAGCUCGGCGGUAGAUGAACUCAACACAGACCCCCCGUCCGUUGCACCAGGCUGCCAAGACCAAGUUUGGCCCCAUUGCACAUCUGGUCCGGUGUGCCACUAGAUCCUCGCUAUAGACGGUCCAGUGCGCCCAGACAGGUUGCAGUGAGUCCUUUCUUCUCCAUCCUUUCUCCAUUUGACUUGAACUCUUUAGAAGGACUUUUCUGUGGCUUAGACAAACAUGAUUAGAGUAUAAUCUAGUUGCCUAAGUCCUAGAAAGUUACCUCUUUCUCAGUAUAUCCCCAACUUCUUCGUUUCUCCUCAAAUAGGGCCCUAUAUGGCACUUUCUCUACAAACCAAGUUAGAGAGAAAACCAAAGCACCAAAUGCAUAGUAAAAGGUGUGUGUGAAAGCAUCUAGGCCCAUAGUUGGUUUUAGUGAUUAAUGACAACAUAAGAUUAUAUGUGACUAACGUGUGUUUUGCAGAGCAAAUGGUAAGUUAGACCGCAUUACAGGAAGUUGCGCUGCAAUGGUGAAAACAAUACCUCAGAUGAGAACUUGAAGCAGCAACUGAAAAAGGGUGAAUCAAAAGAUGAAGGUCUUCGUAUUCCAAGUGUCGAAGGAGUUGUGGACACUUGGUAUAGAGUUAGGUCUUCUAUUUUUAUUUUAGUCGUACUAUAAAGAGGGGUUGUGGAUGAGUAGUUUGACCAAGAGAAUUCUAGUGUAGUGUUGGUGCAUAUUCACACUCACAACUAGUGCUAGGUGUCAUUCUAUAACACACUCACAAGUUAGAACGAAAUCACGUAUGAAAAACCUAAGGAAAAGAACUUAGGUUUGCUGACAUAGGGCCACGGGACUGUCCGGUGCGACCCCUGACACUGGCCGAGGACUGCCCUGGGGGCAACCCUCUGCCCCCUAUAAACCCGAGAGUGCGCAGUUCACUGGAUUGAUUUUUAGCGAGGCAUCGGACAGUCACUGUUGACUAUCCGGUGCGCCGUCAGAGCAACGACUAGCUGUCAAAAGUAACUGUUGGCUGCGCACCGGUGGCGCACCAGAUUGUCCGGUGCGCCCAUGCGCACAAGCCACAAUAACAACUAGUUUUGGUUGGUGAGGGUAUUUAUACCCCCUCUACCAGCCACAUUUAGUAUCUUGCUGCCCAUAUACACUUGUAUUUAUUGCUAGUGCAUUGCAAGCCCACAAAGCAUAGUGAGGUGAUUACGAAAAUUGUAAUCCCAUGUUAGGACAUUAUUAGUGCGCAUGAGAGCCACCUAGAGCACACACCAUAUGAGUUAGGCUUCUCUUGGUCAAGUGAAAGGAUAUAGCUUGUUACUCAUGGUGAUCGGCAUCAUUUAGACGGCUUGGUGGCGAUUGGAGUUCGGUGAUCACCUCGGAGGACUUGUUGGUGACCCGACUCGAAGAUUGUACGCAGUCAUGAGAGAUCCACUGUGCCGGAGAGGCAAAGGAUCAUCUCAUAAAGAGCACUUGGUUCGGGCAAGGACCAAGGGGAAGUGAUACCCUUGCGUGGGUGCUCCAACGAGGACUAGGGAACAGUGUCGACUAUUCGAUACCUCGGGAAAAAAAUGCAGGGGUCUUCUUGCCCUUACUUUACAUUCCGCAUUUACUUUGAGCAUUUUACUUUGUGCAAUUGCUUAGUUAGUAUUUGUAGAUAUGACUUAGGGUUGUUGUCUAUCUAGUAGUAUUUACUUAUUGCUAGUAGUUUGGGUGAAGUUGGGCUCAUUCUUAGGGUUUAACUUUUGUUGGAAUUUUAGAAAAGCCCAAUUCACCCCCUCCUAGGCAUCAUGAUCCUUUCAAUUGGUAUCAGAGCCUUGUUGCUCCUAGUUUAGCUUAACCGCUAGAGUAACGAUGUCCGGCGGGGAUGGACCUCCUCCCAUUUUUUAUGGUGACGAUUUUCCUUAUUGGAAAAUUCUUAGGGAAGCUUAUUUAGAGGCUAUAGACAUUGGAGUCUAUAAAGCCGCCAUCCAAGGGUUCCCCGAACCUAGAGAUGCCACAAAUCUUAUGGGUGAUGAGUACAACUAUAAAAAAUGGAAUGCAAAGGCCAAAAACACUCUUUUUAGGGGUCUUUGUAAGGAUGUUUUCAAUAGAGUUAGAAAUCACAAAAAUGCUCAUGAUUUGUGGUUAGAUAUUUGUGCUAUACAUGAUGGAACCAAAAGUGAGCGUGAGGAGAGAUAUCAUAUUGCCAUGAAAAAAAUUAAACUCUUUUGAAAUGCUUGCCAAUGAGAAUGCAAAUGAUAUGUACUCGCGACUUAAUAUUAUUGUAGAGGAAGUCAAUGGUUUGGGACUCACUCAAAUUUCACAACCAGAUGUUGUGAGAAAAUUCUCAGUGUCUUGCCAAUUAAAAAGUAUGGUCACAUUGUCACCGUGCUACACCAAAUGGAUCUUUCCAUCACUACACCGACUCAAAUAUUGGGAAAGAUCAAUGCUCAUGAAAUGUAUAUGCACAUCAAUGACAAGGAUGGGUCUUCUUCCAAGAAGAAAGAUUUGGCUCUCAAAGCUAGUCAAGAAAAGAAAGGCAAGACCAAAAUCCAAGUUGAGGAAGAAUCCUCAAGUGAUGAUGAUCUUGAUACAAAUAUUGCCUUCAUGGUGAGGAAGACAACAAAGAUGUUGAAGAAACUAUAUCGGGAAGGCAUCAAAUUUAAUUCAAGAAAGAAGAAUUUUUGUCGAGCAAGAGAAAGCCCACCUUCGAGAUGGAUUGCUACAAUUGUGGAAAACUUGGCCAUCUUGCUCAUCAAUGCAACAAGCUCAAGAAAAACAAUUUCAAGGGCAAGAAAGAUGAUGAAAGUGAUGAUGAGAAGAAAAAAAAGAAGUUCUUCGAGAACAAAGAAGGCAAGCACAAGAGGCUUCACAAAAAGAAGAAUGAGAAAGCAUAUAUUGUUGGUGAUUGGCUCACCGACAUUGAAUCCUUAAGCGGCUCUUCUUCAAGUGAAGAAGAAGAUGAUGAAAAGGUCACCGCCGUCGCCGGGGAUUUCUCUUCACCACCAUCAUCACCUUCAUCUACUUCACACCUAUGCCUCAUGGCUAAAGGUGAACGGAACGUACAAAAUGAAAAUGACAUUAUUGAAGAUUGUGAUAGUGAUAGUGAUGAUGAAUAUGCUUCUCCUACUUAUGAUGAAUUAGCGGAUGUUGGGGUUUGUUCUCAAAUGCUAUGAAUUAAGAACAAGGCAACACAAAAAUAGGUUAUUGGUUAAUGCCCUUCGUCCUUCGAAGCAUUAUUUCCCUAAGGAUAUAACGAUCUUCGGACGAAGGUCAUAAAAGACGUACCUUCAUCAUCACAACAUAUAUUAAUGAAAGACGAAGCAUAUGAAACAUGAGAAAUAACAUGAAUAAUCAUAUGACACCAUUAAUAUAUCUUUUAUUAUAUAACCAUGAAUGAAUAAGAACAAUAUUGAAUUACAUUUGUACCUUCGACUUGAUAGAAGGCAAAGGUACAAGCGUGACGCAUGAGCGAGUACAAAUCAGCGUGAACAAUAUGGGGGGUACUGUUCAUCUAUUUAUAGGCACAGGGCGCAGCCUAUGUGAAAUUACAUUCAUGCCCUUCAUGUUUACUAUUGACUUAAGAACAAUCUGUCGAGGACUAGAUAACCUUUUUCUCCUUAAGUCGGUUCCUUUUUCUGCUACUGAGCCGAAGCUCCCUUGCGCGCAGCUUCAGCGCUAGUUCAUCCUUCGUUCCGACCCUGCUUCCCAUAUUGUGUAUAGCUUCAUCCCGAGUCCGAAGGUGCCUGUAUGUGUAUUACACUUGGAAAACAUUGUUAAAUCAUAUUUUUGAGGACCUUAGGAAGACGAAGGCCCCCAACAGUAGCCCCUCGCAGUAUUAAUUUGUUAUAACAACGAAUUCAGACUGCGAUAUGAACGAAGGCCUUAGGCCGAAGGUCCGAAAAAACACCUUCCCUUUGCUAGAAUAGCAACAAUCAAUGACAGCUGGGGUCCUCCAAGUUGCAGCGUGCUAGGCGUAUAAAUAUGAACUCACACCGGCAACAUUUGAUAUGCUAUUUCUACCAUUUGCAUUAUUUUUUCAAACUUUUAGCUCUUGCUCACUAGCGCUCAUUAGAUUUUCAAGCUUUUUGAGCUUCAGUUUAAAAUCGCGUUUUCACCAUGUCUGAGGAAAAAAUAACCAAGGAAAAGAAGGUUGUUGCGGAGACGAAGCUAGCUGAAGAGACGAAGUUAUUUGAAGAAAAGAAAGCUGUGAAUCCUUUUAUCGCCGGGUUUAUUGAAUCUAUGUCAAAAACAAACACAAAGAAGGUUACUAAAGAGAUACUGGAAGGUUUGUCUAAAGAUACUGAUGACAGUGAUAGCUAUGAUGUGGACAGUGGGGAUGAAGAUUCUGAAGAUCGCCCCUGGAGACCAAGCCAUAUUGUCUUCGGAAAAUCGACUAUUAAACAGAGUCAUCUUGACAACAUGAGAGGAAGGUACUUUCGUGACAUGUCUAUCGUGAGAGUUGGCAGAGACAACAUCGUGCCCACCCAUGAGGAAGAUGAAGUUGUUAUCUACCGAAGCUUUUUUAAGGCUGGUCUUCGGUUUCCUUUAAGCAAGUUUGUAGUUGAAGUGCUGAAGUUCUACCAGAUCUUCCUUCAUCAGAUCACCCCCGAAGCUAUAAUGAGGAUGGGGAUUUUUGUCUGGGCUAUGAGGAGUCAGGGGCGGGAGCCAAGCGCGAAGUGCUUCUGCAGUAUGCACGAACUCUUAUAUGAGACAAAGGCUACUGGCAAAGAACAGUACCACAACAACUUCGAUUGUUAUGGAUUUAUUGCUCGCCCCAACACAAGCCACUCGGUGCCAACGUUUCGGAAGAGAUGGCCCGGAGCCUGGAUGGAAGAGUGGUUUUAUGUGAAGAAUGAUUUAAAGGCAAGGCAAGACAUUAAAGAAAUCAUCAUGCGCCCCAUCUGGUCCCGCUUCGGCCUCCGAAGGUCGAAGGUGGAAAUUGAUGACACUGUCGAAGCGUGACAGAGGGCUUUCAGCACUGUUUGCAACUUCAUUGGCACAAGAGAUUUAAUUCAGGAACAUAUAGCCUUCAGGGUAUGGCCGCUUGUGGAAAGCUGGGAAAUGCCGAAGGAGACCACCACCGAUUCUAGCGAAGGUGGUCUGGUUCGACUAAAGUAUACCUUCAGAUUCAGGGAGAAGUUUGAUGAGCCAAACAAUGACUGGCUGAAGUGCAUUGAAGCUACCAGUGAUGAACUUCUUGGAGCAUAUUCCAAGGCAGAAGAUAAUGCUCUGUUCGCAGCCUUCGAAGGUCGGGGGAAGAAAAGACUGAACAAAGUUUUUGACGCGAUCGACUUUGUAUACCCCGAUUACCGCUACCCACGGUGAGGAUAGGAGAAAAAGAGGAAGAUUGCUGCUUCGGUCACCCCAGCUGAGCUUGUGCCGAAGAGCAAAAAGGUGAAGGUUCUGACCCACUGGCCGCGUUAUAUUGAACCGGCCAUGGUGCCUGAAUUCGGCGCAGGGUCCUCCUCAGCAACCGAAGCAACAGAAACUGCUCCGAUUGCACAGAGCACUGAAGAGGCGACCGUAAUGCAGAAGGUACCCAUAGUCGAGCCAGUCGAGGCUAAGGUUGAUAAGGUUGAAAGGUCAAAGAUUGAAGAAAUAAUAAAAAUGCCAAAAAUUCUGAGCCCUCCGAUAGAGACAAAACUGUCGAAGGUGCAAAAGGCUUCUACUGCAACUCCUAAGAGGAGGAGAAUGGCCAACGUGUUGGAUGUUGUUGGGGACUUGAUCUCAAAUGCUAUGAGUUAAGAACAAGGCAACACAAAUGUUAAUGGUUAAAAGUCCUUCUACCUUCGAAGCAUUAUUUCCCUUAGGAUAUAAUGAUCUUCAGACAAAGGUCAUGAAGGACAUACCUUCAUGAUCGCAGAAUAUGUUAAUGAAAUAAGAAGCAUAUGAAAUAUAAAAAACAACAUGAAUAGUCGUAUGGCAUUAUUAAUAUAUCUUCUUCUUAUUAACAUGGAUAAACAGAAACAAUAUUGAAUUACAUUUAUACCUUCAGCUUGACAGAAGGUAAAAGUCCAAGCGUGACGCACAAAUGAAAAUACAAGUCAGCGUGAACAGUACGGGGGUACUGUUCAUCUAUUUAUAGGCACAGGACGUAGCCUGUGUAAAUUUACAUUCAUGCCCUUCAUAUUUACUAUUGACUUAUGGACAACCCAACGGGGACUAGAUGGUCUUUUCCCCUUUAAGUCAGUUCCUUUUUCCGCCAUUGAGUCGAAGCUCCCUUGCGUGUAGCUUCGGAGCAACAUCAGCUUUCGUCUCGACCAUGCUUUUCACAUCGUGUAUGCUUUUAACCUGAGUCCGAAGGUACCUGUUCAUAUGUUACACUUGGAAAACAUUGUUAAAUCAUGUUUUUGAGGACCUUCAGAAGAUGAAGGCCCCCAACAGUAGCCUCUCGCAGUAUUAAUUUGUUAGGAUAACGAAUUCAGACUGCGACAUGGACGAAGGCCUUAAGCCGAAAGUCCGAAAAACACCUUCCCUUUGCUAGAAUAGCAACAGUUAAUGACAAACGGGGCCCUCCAAUUUGCAGUGUGUUGGGCAUAUAAAUAGGAACUCACACCAGCUGCAUUUGAUACGCUGCUUGUGCCAUUUGCAUUGUUUUCUCAAUCUUUUAGCUCUUGCUCACUAGCGCUUGCUAGAUUUUCAAGCUCUCUGAACUUCGGUUUAAAAAACGCGUUUUCACCAUGUCUGGAGAAAAGAUGCCUCAGGAAAAGAAGGUUGUUGCGGAAACAAAGCUGACCGAAGAAGCGAAGUUGUAUGAGGAGAAGAAGUCUGUGGAUCCUUAUGUUGCUGGAUUUGUUGAAUCGAUGGCAAAAACAAACACAAAGAAAAUUACUAAAGAGAUACUGGAAGGUUUGUUUGAAGAUACUGCUGACAGCGAUAGCUAUGAUGCGGAAAGUGGGGACGAAGAUUCUGAGGAUCGACCCUGGCGGCCAAGUCAUUCAAUCUUCGGAAAAUCGACCAUCAAACAGAGUCAUCUUGAGAACAUGAGAGGAAGGUACUUUCGGGAUAUAUCUGUUGUGAGGGCUGGCAGAGACAACAACAUCCCUGCCCCUAAGGAGAACGAAGUUGUGAUUUACCGAAGCUUCUUCAAGGCUGGACUUCGGUUCCCUUUGAGCAAGUUUGUAGUUGAAGUGCUGAAGACCUACCAAAUCUUCCUUCAUCAGAUCACCCCCGAAGCCAUAAUAAGAAUGGGGAUUUUCAUAUGGGUAGUAAGGAGUCAAGGGAUAGAGCCAAGCGAGAAGUGCUUCUGCAGUAUGCACGAACUUCUAUAUGAGACGAAGGCCAUGGGUAAAGAACAGUACCACAACAACUUUAGUUGUUAUGGAUUUAUCGCUCGCCCCAAAGCAAGCUACCCAGUGCCAACGUUUCAGAAGAGAUGGCCCAGAGCUUGGAUGGAAGAAUGGUUUUAUGUGAAAAAUGAUUUACAAGCAAGGGAACAUAUCAAAGAAGUCAUUAUGCGCCCUAUCUGGUCCCGCUUCGGCCUCCGAAGGCCGAAGGUAGAAAUUGAUGAUUCUGUCGAAGAAUACCAGAGAGCCUUCGACACUGUUUGCUCUUUUAUUGGCACAAGGGAUUUAAUUCAAGAGCAUAUAGCCUUCAGGGUAUGGCUGCUUGUGGAAAGCUGGGAAAUGCCAAAGGAGACCACCACCCACUCCAGGAAAGAUGGUAUGGUUCGACUGGAGUAUACCUUCAGAUUUAGGGAGAAAUUUGAUGAACCCAACGACGACUGGCUGAAGUGUAUCGAAGCUACAAGUGAUGAAUUGCUUGGGGCUUAUUCCAAGGCCGAAGAUAAUGCACUAUCCACAGCCUUCGGAAGACAGGGAAAGAAAAGACUGAACAGGGUUUUUGAUGCCAUUGGCUUCAUAUACCCCGACUACCGCUAUCCGCUACGGGGACAGGGGAAAAAGAGGAAAGCUGCUACUUCGGCCAUCCCAGUUGAGUCUAUGCCGAAGGGCAAAAAGUUGAAGGUUCUUACCCACCGGUCGCGUUACAUUGAACCGGCCGUGGUACCUGAGUUUGGCGCAGGGUCCUCUUUAGUAGCCAAAACAAUACAAAUUGCUUCGACUGUACAUGGCGCUGAAGAACCAGCUGUAAUGUCGAAGAUGAUUAUAGCAGAGCCAGCCGAAGAUAAGGCUGAAAAGGCUAAAGAGCCAAAGAUUGACGAGAUAACAAAAACACCAAAGAUUCUAAGCCUUGCGAUAGAGGCAUAUCUGCCAAAGAUACAAAAGACUUCUGAUGCCACUCCUAAGAGGAGAAGAAUGGCAAACGUGGUGGAUGUUGUGUUGGAAACGACGAAAGUAUUGAGUCCUGCUCUUAUAAAGAAAGUCGUUCCAACUGAAACUAAAUCGCAGGCCGAUACCGAGACUAGGCAAGCCGAAGCUGCACAAGUUCAAGCUGAAAGAGAAGUUAGGCCUUCAGUGCCUAUCGCAAUAAUGCCUGCCACAUCUGAAGAAAAGACGACAGAACAAAUUGCAUCUGAAAAGAUCGAAGCUUCUGCUCCCGAAGCUUUGGAUAAAGACAUUGACUAUAUCAUUCGCCAUGCUUCGGGAAAAGAACUAUCCCAAGAAGAAAUGCUAGUAGCACAACACUAUGCCCAAAAAUUGAAAUAUCCGAAGGGGGCAUUAGUGUUUAAUGGUAGCGGCAAAGAAGAUUUUUUAUACCGUCUCCCGGAUAACAAAGAAGUAUCUGUCUGCCGGGAGAUAGGUAAAAGCAUCGGAUUCCCGAAGCUGGAAGACGGUCUUUUGAUUUUAUCGAAGGACAAACUUGCUGACAGCUUAGCAUACAAUAGCAUAAAGGUAUAAAAGCUAAUUUUGUAUUUGAGAAUGAAAUAUUUUAUUUGCUAUACUCAAUUCUAUCCUCCUCUUGCAGGGCUUAAUUCUUAGCAAUGCACUUAGGGCUCAAAAAAAUAUUGAAGAUGAAGGCUCUAUGAUGGCUCUGAACAACCUUCGUUCAGAGGUAAACGAAUUAAGAGACGAAGGUCUUGAAAAAGACAAAAUCUUGAUUUCAUUGCUAAACAAAGUGAAAGAAGACGAAGCUAGUUUCAAUGCUCAGGUUGAAAUCCAAAAGAAUGAAAUUUAAGACCUUCGAGAACAGUUGGCACAAGCCAAAGAAAAAUGCACACUCGCAGAAGCUAACCAAGAAAUCAGUGAAUAUUGGAAAAAUCAUUUAGAGAAAAAAGUUGAAGAACUUCGUACAUCCAAGGAAAGAUGCUUUGAAAAAUCCUUGGACUGUGUAAAGAAAAUACAAGCUAGUUUUGCUAACGUGGGUGCUUAUUCUACCGAAGAAAACUUCAUACGAGGCGACCCCGAAGGUGUUAUCGAAUGGAUAAGUGGGGAGGCCGAGAGCUUCGAAGAAAUCUUAAGUGAUCGUGGGGAUGUUUGUGCAUUUUCUGGUGCACGGGGGAUUUCAGCUAUCUUGGAGAAGGCGGGAUGUGAUCACAUCAAGACCAUGGCCCAGACCGAAGCUGCCUUCUCCGCAGAUGACACGAAGGAUCCUUCAGCUGAGCAACCUUAAUAAGCGGAAAAUUCUAUAAUGAUGUCUGGGUGAAUGGCGGCCGAGAGAUGGCUCAUGAAAUUAUAAAGAAGAGUGAAAAAGACACCCAUGACGCCCGGAUAGAAGCGAGACAAGCUGCCGAAGCUGCAAAGCGCGAGAAAUGUAUAGGUAACAUCUUUUGAUAUUCAGCUUCGGCAUUUUGUUUUUUGUGACUUCGGACUAAUUAAUUUUUCCCACUUCAGCUGAAUUAUCCCCUCUACCAGAACCGUUCGACCCCCUGGCCGAUCUAGAGAUGAAGGAAGCACUAGAGAUCAUUAAUAUGGCUGAGUCUAUUGUUGACGAAGUAGUCAAUAAACUGCUAAAUGAAAUUGUAGAGAAAAUCCUGAAAGAAGACUGGAACUUAUUGUAAAAACAUUUUUAGAUGGUCAAUGUAGCUUUAUUGUAACAAGACUGUAACAUUUGAUGUGUAUAUCUUUGAAUCUAAUAUGUAAAUUAUUUGUAAUUCACUUCUUUGCGAUGCAUGAAACUUUAUAUACAUACCGUUUUUGAGCCUUCGGCGAAAAAACACCUUCCCUUCUUUUCAUGCUUCGUAAAGAAAACGAUCCAUGCUUCGUGAAAAUAUCCAUGCUUCGUAAAAACAUCCAUGCUUCAUAGAAAUAUCCAUGCUUCAUAAGCAAGGGAUCCCUUCUUUUGUAACAAGGCUGAUGAAACUGUAUUCCUCAGCUUACUUUGUGCCUUAGCACAUUUUCAUUUUUACAAAGCAUUCUCCGAAGAUCGACUUCGUAUUCAAUUCGUGUCAUUGGUGCGAUAUGAUGUAUGAUGUGAUGCUAUGCGGGAUGAUGUGAUGAUAUGAUGCAAAAAAUGAUGCUAAUGCCAAAGACAUACACCCACACGCCCACACUGAAACACACAAUCUCUGCGUCCCCUUAGGAACGACUGGAAUCUCUUUGCCGUUUAUUUUUCGGCUUCACCGUUUAUUUUUCGGUGUAAGUUCUGCAUCCCCUUAGGAACGUCUUUUGAACUUCUUCGCCUUCUAUUUCGGCGGUAUAAGUUCUGCAUCCCCUUAGGAACGACUUUUGAACUUCUUCGCCUUAUAUUUUGGCGGUAUUUGGCUCUGCAUUCCCUUUGGAACGACUUUUGAGCAGAAAACUUACUCUGCGCUCCCUUAGGAAUGACUUUUUUGUAGCUUCAACAAAACUUACACUGCGCUCCCUUAGGAACGACUUUUCGAUAGCUUCGGCAAUUUUUAGCUCUGCAUUCCCUUAGGAACGACUUUUGAGCUUCGGCGAUUUCUGAGCUUCGUAAGUCUGUGAAGAAGAUAUAUUCCAUCUCGAUAGAAACAAAAUCAUUACAAAAUUUUAAAACUAGAUUUACAUUGCUUGUUCCUUAUUAAAAAAACAAAAUGACGUAGAACAUAAAAGUAUGUCAAAGGCAGGAUAUCACUCAAUAAAUGUUCUUUGAUUCUGGCAUAGUACUGUUGACUGUACGAGCUUCGGAUUCCUCCCUGAAUUCUUGUUGCCGUUGAGCGUUAUGGUGCCCUUCUGGCUGCUGGCUUCAGGGAUAUGUAGGUUGCAGUGGUGGUGGCGGUGGAAGCUGGGGCCAAGAAGCCUGUGAAUGGCUAGCCGAAGCAACAGAAAUUGCAGGAUGAUUGCCCACAUAUUCUAGUAUGUAGGGAGAAUGGCACGAAGCAGUGUGCAAGACCUGCUUCGGCUGAUUCUGCCGAGCUUCGGCUUCUACGAUCUCCUUUUGCUUCAGAAUGGUGAUUUGGCACAUUCUUGUAGUAUGGCCCUUGUCCUCACCACAGAAUAAGCAAUAGAUCUUCCUGAGAUGAUCCCCAUAUCUUCCUCCGAAGCCCCUAGCGCUUCUGCCUCUUGGAGCUGGUGGCCUGAAAGAACUUUGCUGUUGUCCCGAAGAUUAUGAGGUGUAUUGUGACUUCUAAAGCUGGCUUCCUUUGUCGUCAUUCUGACUGGAGCUGUGGAUUGACCUGACAUGCCUUAGGUGGAUUCUUCCUCUGAAGCCUCUGGUCAUCUCCGAGAAUUUGUAAGCUUCUUCCCUUCUUUGGCGGAAGUCGUUGUCAGCCCAGAUGUACUCAUCCAUCUUCUGAAGCAACUUCUCCAGUGUUUGUGGGGGCUUCCUGACAAAAUAUUGAGCCAUAGGUCCUGGCUGAAGACUCUUAAUCAUGGCCUCAAUGACAAUUUCAUUGGGCACUGUGGGCGCUUGUGCCCUCAGUCGCAAGAACCUUCGGACAUACGCUUGAAGGUAUUCCUCAUGAUCUUGCGUGCAUUGGAACAAGGCCUGAGCUGUGACUGGCUUCGUCUGAAAGCCUUGGAAACUGGUCACCAGCAUGUCCUUGAGCUUUUGCCAUGACAUGAUUGUCCCUGGCCGAAGGGAAGAAUACCAUGUCUGGGCCACGUUCCGAGCUACCAUGACGAAGGACUUAGCCAUAAUAGCUGCAUUGCCUCUAUAUGAGGAUAUUGUUGCCUCGUAGCUCAUUAGAAAUUGUUUUGGGUCCGAGUGCCCAUCGUACAUGGGUAGCUGGGGUGGCUUGUAGGAUUGUGGCCAUGGGAUAGCCUGCAAUUCUGCUGCCAAGGGAGAAGCAUCAUCAAAAGUAAAGGUAUCGUGAUUAAAAUCAUCAUACCUUCCAUCUUCGUUGAACAAGCCCUCUUGAUGAAUCUCCCUUUGUUGGGGCCUUCAGUCUUGGUCAUCUUGAGAAAGUUGACGCACUUCCUCAGUAGCUUCAUCGAUCUUCCUUUGAAGAUCGGUCGGCCGAGCCAUCUUCUCCUUCUUCCUUUGCACUUGUUGAUGGAUGAUUUCCAUGUCCCUGAUCUCUUGGUCCAACUCCUCCUCCUGGAGUGUUGGACUGGUGGUCUUUCUCUUCUGGCUUCGAGCCUCUCGGAGAAGAGAGAGAGAGUCUCCUAGUUUGUGUCCAGCGGCUGCAGUGCAGCAGCCCCUAGCACUGAAGCUUUCUUCGGCGGCAUGACGAAGGUCAGGGCUUGCCGAAGGUGGUCGAAUGAGUUCACGGAGGUGGGCGCCAAUGUUGGGGACUUGUUCUCAAAUGCUAUGAGUUAAGAACAUGGCAACACAAAUGUUAAUGGUUAAAAGUCCUUCGUCCUUCGAAGCAUUAUUUCCCUUAGGAUAUAAUGAUCUUCAGACGAAGGUCAUGAAGGACAUACCUUCAUGAUCGCAGAAUAUGUUAAUGAAAGAAGAAGCAUAUGAAAUAUAAAAGACAACAUGAAUAGUCGUAUGGCAUUAUUAAUAUAUCUUCUGCUUAUUAACAUGGAUAAACAGAAACAAUAUUGAAUUACAUUUAUACCUUCGGCUUGACAGAAGGUAAAAGUCCAUGCGUGACGCACAAAUGAAUACAAUUCAGCAUGAACAGUACGGGGGUACUGUUCAUCUAUUUAUAGGCACACGACGCAGCCUGUGUAAAUUUACAUUCAUGCCCUUCAUAUUUACUAUUGACUUAUGGACAACCCAGCAGGGACUAGAUGGUCUUUUCCCCUUUAAGUCGGUUCCUUUUUCCGCCAUUGAGCCGAAGCUCCCUUUCGUGUAGCUUCGGAGCAACAUCAGCCUUCGUCUCGACCAUGCUUUUCACAUCGUGUACGCUUUUAACCCGAGUCAGGUACCUGUUCAUAUGUUACACUUGGAAAACAUUGUUAAAUCAAGUUUUUGAGGACCUUCAGAAGACGAAGGCCCCCAACAGAUGCUGUGCUGGAAACUACGAAGGUUUUAAGCCAUGCUGCUACAAAGAAAGUUGUUGAAAUUACAAAAACGUAGGCCGAAACCAAAACUAGGCAAACAUAAACUAAAGCUGCGCUAGCUUAAACUGAAGUCGAUGCUGGGCCUUCAGUGCCCACCGACAUGGAGCCUACUGAUCCUAAGGAAAAAAUGACAGCGCAGAUUGCAUCUGAAAAGAUCGAAGCUCCUGCUCCCGAAGCUUCGAACAAAAGCAUUGACUACAUUAUUCGUCAUGCUUCGGGAAAAUAACUAUCCCAAGAAGAAAUGCUAGAAGCACGACACUACGCCCAAAAAUUGAAAUAUCCAAAGGGGGCGUUAGUGUUCAAUGGUAGUGACGAAGAAGAUUUUCUGUAUCGUCUCCUGGAUAACAAAGAAAUAUCUGUUUGCCGGGAGAUAGGUAAAAGCAUCGGAUUACCGAAGCUGGAAGACGGCCUUUCGAUUUUAUCAAAGGAUGAACUUGCUGAUAGCCAAGCAUACAAUAGCAUAAAGGUAUAAAAGUUAACUUUGAAUUUGAAAAUGAGGUAUUUCAUUUGUCAUACUCAAUUCUUUCCUCCUCUUGCAGGGCUUGAUUCUUAGUAAUGCCCUUAGGGCGCAGAAAAAUAUUGAAGACAAAGGCUAUACAAUGGCUCUGAACAACCUUCGUUCAGAGGUGAUUGAAUUAAGAAACGAAGGUCUUGAAAAAGACAAAAUCUUAAUUUCUCUGGUUAACAAAGUGAAAGAAGACGAAGCUAGUUUCAAAGCUCAAGCCGAAGCCCAAAAGAUUGAAAUUGAAGACCUUCGGAGGCAACUGGCCGAAGCUAAGGAAAAAUGCGCACUCGCAGAAGCUAACCAAGAAAUCAGCGAAUAUUGGAAAAAUCAUUUAGAGAAAAAUGUUGAAGAACUUCGCACAUCCAAGGAAAGGUGCUUUGAAAAAUCCUUGGAUUGUGUGAAGAAAAUAAAACCUAGUUUCGCCAAAGUGGGUGCCUAUUCUGCCGAAGAAAACUUCAUACGAGGCAACCCCGAAGGCGUUAUUUAAUAGAUAAGUGGAGAGGCCGAGACCUUCGAAGAAAUUUUAAGUGAUCGCGAGGAUGUUUGCCCGUUUUCCGGUGCGCGGGGAAUUUCAGCCAUCUUGGAGAAGACGGGAUGCGACCAUAUUAAAACCAUGGCCUAGACCGAAGUUGCCUUCUCCAUAGAUGAUACGAAGGAUCCUUCAGCUGAAGCAACCUUGAUGGGCAAAAAAUUCUAUAAUGAUGUCUGGGUGAAUGGUGACCGAGAGAUGGCCCAUGAAAUUAUAAAGAAAAGUGAAAAAGACACACAUGACGCCCGAGUAGAAGCAAGACAAGCUGAAGAAGUUGCAGAGCGCGAAAAGCGUAUAGGUAAUAUCUUUUGAUUUUCAGCUUUGGCAUUUGUUUUUGUGGCUUCGGACUAAUUAAUUUUUCCCACUUCAGCUGAAUUAUCUCUGCCACCGGAACCGUUUGAUCCCCUGGUUGAUCCAAAAACGAAGGAAGCGCUGGAGAUCAUUAAUAUGGCUGAAUCUAUUGUUGAUGAAGUUGUUAACAAAUUACUGAACGAAGUUGCAGAAAAGUCCUUAAAGAGGAAUAACUCUUAUUGUAAAAACAUUUUGAAAUGGUCAAUGUAAGAGACACUAGAACAGAUAUUGUGCUUUUAUUGUAACAAAGCUGUAAUAUUUGAUGUGUGUAACUUUGAAUUGAAUAUGUAAAUUAUUGCAAUUUAUUUCUUUGUGAGGCAUGAAACUUUACAUAUAUACUGUUUUUGAGCCUUCGGCGAAAAAACACCGUCCCUUCUUUUCAUGCUUCGUAAAGAAAAAGAUAUAUGCUUCGUAAAGAUAUCCAUGCUUCGCAAAAAGGGAUCCCUUCUUUUGUGACAAGGCUGAUGAAGCUGUAUUUCCCGAAACUUACUUCGUGCCUUAGCACAUUUUCAUUUUGAUGAAGCAUUCGUCGAAGAUCGACUUCGUAUUCGAUUCUCGUGUCGUGGAUGCGAUAUGAUGUAUGAUGUGAUGCUAUGCGAAAUGAUGUGAUGAUGUGAUGCAAAAUGAUAAUGAUGCCGAAGACACACACCCACACUGGAAUACACAAACUCUGCAUCCCCUUAAGAACGACUUUUGAGCUUCUUCACCAUUUAUUUUUUGGUGUAAGUUUUGCAUCCCCUUAGGAACGACUUUGGAACUUCUUCGCCUUCUAUUUCGGUGGUAUAAGUUUUGCAUCCCCUUAGGAACGACUUUUGAACUUCUUCGCCAUAUAUUUCGGCGGUAUUUGGCUCUGCAUUCCCUUUGGAACGACUUUUGAGCAGAAAACUUACGCUGCGCUCCCUUAGGAACGACUUUUGUAGUUUCGGCAAUUUUGGCUCUGCAUUCCUUUUGGAACGACUUUUGAGCUUCGAAAUUCUGUGAAGAAGAUUUUGGGCUUCGUAAUUCUGUGAGGAAGAUAUAUUUCAUUCUGAUAGAAGCAAAAUCAUUACAAGAAUUUAAAACUAAAUUUACAUUACUUGUUCCUUAUUAAAAAGCAAAAUGGCAUAGAACACGAAAGCAUUUCAGUGGUAGGAUAUCACUCAGUAUAUUUGCUUCGAUUCGGGUACAGUACUAUUGACUGUACAAGCUUCGGACUCCUCCCUGAAGUCAUGUUGUUGCUGAGAGUGUUGACGCCCUUCUGGGUGCUGGCUUCGGGAAUAUGUGGGCUGCAGUGGUGGUGGCGGUGGAAGCUGAGGCCAAGAAGCCUGUGAAUGGCUUGCCGAAGCAACAGAGGCUGCAGGUUGAUUGCCCACGUAUUCUGGUAUGUAAGGAGAGUGGCACGAAGCAGUGUGCAAGACCUGCUUCGGCUGAUUCUGCCGAGCUUCGGCUUCAGCGAUCUCUUUUUGUUUCAAAAUAGUGAUCUGACACAUUCUUGUAGUGUGUUCCUUGUCUUCACCAUAGAAUAAGCAAUAAAUUUUCCUGGGCUGAUCCCCAUAUCUUCCUUCGAAGCCCAUGACGCCUCUGCCCCUUAGAGCUGGCGGCCUGAAGGAGCUUUGCUGCUGUCCUGAAGACUGUGAGGUGUGCUGUGGCCUCUGAAGCUGGCUUCCUUUGUCAUCACUCUAACUAGAGUUGUGGAUUGAUCUGACAUGCCUAGGAUGGAUUCUUCCUCCAAAGCCCCUAGUUAUCUCAGAGAAUCUGUAAGCUUCCUCCCUUCUUUGGCGGAAGUCGUUGUCAGCCCGGAUGUACUCAUCCAUUUUCUGAAGCAGCUUCUCCAGAGUCUAGGGGGGCUUCCUGGCAAAGUAUUGAGCCGUAGGUCCUGGCCGAAGACCCUUGAUCAUGGCCUCAAUUACAAUUUCAUUGGGCACUGUGGGCGCUUGUGCUCUCAGUCGCAAGAACCUUCGGACAUACGCCUGAAGGUAUUCCUCAUGGUCUUGUGUGCACUGGAACAAGGCCUGAGCUAUGACUGGCUUCGUCUGAAAGCCUUGAAAACUAGUAAUCAGCAUGUCCUUCAGCUUCUGCCAUGACGUGAUUGUCCCUGGCCGAAGAGAAGAAUACCAUGUUUGGGCCACGUUUCGAACUGCCAUGACGAAGGACUUGGCCAUGACAGCUGCGUUGCCUCCGUAUGAAGAUAUUGUUGCCUCAUAGCUCAUCAAGAACUAUUUUGGGUCUGAGUGCCCAUCAUACAUGGGUAGCUGGGGUGGCUUGUAGGAUUGUGGCCAUGGGAUAGCCUACAAUUCUGCUGCCAAGGGAGAAGCAUCAUCAAAAGCAAAGGUACCAUGAUUAAAAUCAUCGUACCAUUCAUCUUCAUUGAAUGAGCCUUCUUGACGAAGCUCCCGGUGUUGGGGCCUUCGAUUGUGAUCAUCUUGAGUGAGAUGACGCACUUCCUCGGUAGCUUCGUCGAUCUUAUUCUAAAGGUCGGCCAGCCGAGCCAUCUUCUUCUUUUUCCUUUGUACCUGCUGGUGAAUGAUUUCUAGGUCCCUGAUCUCCUAGUCCAACUCUUCCUCCUGAAGUGUUGGACUGGUGGCCUUCCUCUUUUGGCUUUUGGACUCUCAGAGAGAGAGAGAGAGAGUGUCUUGGUUUGUGUCUAGGGGCUGUAGUGCAGCCGCUGGCGCUGAUAUCUUCUUCGCCGGCAUGACGAAGGUUGAUGCUUUGUCGAAGGUUGUGGAAGUGAGUACACCGGAGGUGGGCGCUAAUGUUGGGGACUUGUUCUCAAAUGCUAUGAAUUAAGAACAAGGCAACACAAAAAUAGGUUAAUGGUUAAUGCCCUUCGUCCUUCGGAGCAUUAUUUCCCUAAGGAUAUAACGAUCUUUGGACGAAGGUCAUGAAGGACGUACCUUCGUCAUCACAACAUAUAUUAAUGAAAGACGAAGCAUAUGAAACAUGAGAAAUAACAUGAAUAAUCAUAUGACACCGUUAAUAUAUCUUUUAUUAUAUAAUCAUGAAUGAAUAAGAAAAAUAUUGAAUUACAUUUGUACCUUCGGCUUGAUAGAAGGCAAAGGUACAAGCGUGACGCACAAGCGAGUACAAAUCAGCGUGAACCGUACGGGGGUACUGUUCAUCUAUUUAUAGGCACAUGGCGCAGCUUGUGUGAAAUUAGAUUCAUGCCCUUCAUGUUUACUAUUGACUUAAGAACAAUCUAUCGAGGACUAGAUAGCCUUUUCCUCCUUAAGUCGGUUCCUUUUUCUGCUACUGAGCCAAAGCUCCCUUGCGCGCAGCUUCGGCGCUAGUUCAUCCUUCAUUCCGACCCUGCUUCCCAUAUUGUGUACAGCUUCAUCCUGAGUCUGAAGGUGCCUGUAUGUGUACUACACUUGGAAAACAUUGUUAAAUCAUAUUUUUGAGGACCUUCGGAAGACGAAGGCCCCCAACAGCGGACUUGCUUAAAGAAUAUACUCAAAUCAUUAGAAAUUCCAAAACUAAAUGUGACAAGCUAAAAGAUGAAAAUGAAUUCUUAACUGCUAAGUAUGACAUAGUUGUUAAAGCUAGUGAAGAAAUGAAGGAAGAAAACAAAACUAUGUCAUCUAAUAAAAAUGAGCUCAAGACCUCCCUUAAAGAUGCUAAAGAAAAAUGUGAAAAAUUAAGUGAAUCAAAUAGGGAGCUAAAAGAUAGGCUUGUCAAAAUAAAGGAAGAUUACUGAAAGGGAAAUGUGCCCUUGAGCCAUUUCUAUAGUGUUUUGGUGAUUAGAAGCACAACACAUUAUGUUUAAACUAACAUGAUGUAUGAGCAAAAGUAUUUGAAGCAAAUUGAGCUCCGAAGAGGACAUAAUGCAAAUCUAGAUGGAUCAAGUAUAAAGGUGAGCUCUGGACACUUAGUCAAUUGUUUUGUGUGCUAAUCAUGUUUAUCUAAGUGUCAGGGACUCAGUUAAGUCAAGUCCAAAAGGAGCAAAAGAAAACAAAGGAAGAAACAGAGAAAGCGCGCUGGACUGGAGAGCACCGAACGGUCAGGUGCACGGUCUGACCAACUCUCUACUCUCUCGAAUUCUAGCCUGCGUCGGCUAUAAUUCACCAGACAAUCUGCGUGAGGCGCCAGACAGUCCGGUGAGCCGGUAGCCAACGACUAGUGUCCACGUCGGCCCUGGGGCAAUGGUCAAGUGCAGCACCAGACAGUUCGAUGCCCCACACCGGACAGUAUGGUGCCCUCCAGAAUGGGAAAGCAGCCAAUUAGGGAUUCUCUACCUGCACCCAGCCCGCGCACUAUUCACUGUCCGGUGUGCACCGGACAGUCUGGUGCACCCGCGAAUAGAAGGCAACUAGGGCCUUCCAAAUGGAGCUCCAAUGGCUCCUAGGUCCCUUGGGGCUAUAAAAAGGACCCUUGGGCGCAUGGAGCUCUACACCAAGCACUCAUUGAACAUUCUACAACGUCGAGACAUCGCAAACACGUAUUUGGUUCAUUGUGAUAGAGAUUCAAGCACUUCUUUGAGUUGUAACUCCGAUGUGUUAUUUUGUGUGCCCGUUCUUGUCUUGUGUGCAUGUUGUUGUUGCAACUCUCUCUUGUGUGCAUUUCUAUUCCUCCCUUACUCUUGUUUUCAUUUGGGAUCACUUGUGUAAGGUGUGAGAGUCUCUAACUUGUGGAGAUUCCUCACAACGAGAUAUUGCUGAGAAAAGGAGAACCGUGCUGUUCAAGUUGAUCUUUGGAUCACUUGAGAGGGGUUGAGUGCAACCCUUGUCCGUUGGGACACCACAACGUGGAAUAGGCAAGUAUUCUACUUGGCCGAACCACGGGAUAAAAACGAUGUGUCACUUGUCUUUAUACUACUACGAUUUUCUCUCCAUUCAUUUCACUUACAUAAUUGCUCUAUGUUUAAUACUUAUCUUGUGAAGAUCAAUUAAGUGAAGAAGUUUACUCCGCUCGUACUCCACACUCGAACUUGGCCUUAACUUUCACUAAUCCAAUAUUAGUACAAGUUUGUUUUGUUGUGCUGUUUUUUACAUGAUCGCCUAUUCACCCCCUCUAGGUGCUCUCAAUUGGUAUCAGAGCCAUUCUCUUCAUCAAUGAGAUGGUGAUCAACAACAAGGAUAAUGAGACUCUCUAUGUUGAUGAGCCAAAAGGUGACAAGCCCACCGACUUAGGCUCAAACACCAAGAAGAAGGAUGGAAAGAAGAAGAGGCGCAUCAAGAAGAUCAUCUACUAUGAUGACAACACCUCUUCUUCACCAAGGGAUGACGAUGACGAAGACACGUCCAUGAAAAAGAAAACGGUUAAUCAAAAUUAUUCAUUUGAUUACUCUCGCAUUCCGUACAAUUAAAAUGCACAUUUAUUGUCUAUUCCACUUAGAAACCCCCAUCACUUUGAUGGAGAAGAUUAUUCUUUCUGGAGUCAUAAAAUGCAUAGUCAUUUAUUUUCUCUUCAUCCUAACAUUUGGGAAAUAGUGGAAAAUGGAAUGCAUUUUGACAUUAGCAAUAAUUUUGUGUUUAUUAAUGAGCAAAUUCCUAAGAAUGCCCAAAUUACUACUGUGUUGUUAGCAUCUCUAUGCAGGGAUAAAUAUAAUAAGGUCAGCGGCUUGGACAAUGCCAAGCAAAUAAGGGACACCCUCAAAAUCUCUCACGUGGGUAACGAAGCCACCAUGAUCACAAAGAUGGAACUGGUGGAAGGAGAACUGGGAAGGUGCGCCAUGAAAAGGGUAGAGGAGCCAACCAAAACUUACAACAAGCUCAAGACCCUAGUGAACAAGAUUCGAAGCUAUGGAAAUACAAGAUAGACAGAUCAUGAUGUCAUUCGACUCAUGCUAAGGUCAUCUACCGUUAUUCAUCCUCAUCUUGUAAAUCUUAUCCGUGAAAAUCCCAGGUACACAAAGAUGACGCUCGAGGAAAUUCUCAGAAAAUUUGUAAGCGGCCGCAUGAUGGUGAAGGAAGCGAGAUAUGUGGAUGGCAUUGCAAACAGACCGCUUCCUCUCUACGAGCUACAGCCCGUCGCUCUCAAAGCGACAAGCAGCAAGGAGGCACUACCUAAUAAUGUGGCACAAGUGGAGGCUGUCGGACUCAAUGAGGAGGAAAUGUCGCUUGUAAUCGAGCGCUUCAAGGCCGCAUUGAAGGGGCGCAAAGAGUAUCCCAACACGAAUAAAUCAAGGAGAUAGCGCUCCUGCUUCAAAUGUUGUAAGUCCAGUCAUUUUAUUGCACAAUAUCCCAAUAAUAAAAAUGACCAGGGACAAGAAAAGAAACGGAAGAAAGAGAAGAAGAAGAACUACAUGAAGGCAAAGGGCGAGGUGCACAUCGGCAAGGAGUGGGACUCAGACUACUCUUCAUCUAACACCGACGAUGAGGGACUUGUUACCUUGACUUUCGACAAGUCAUUCCUCUUCCCCAACGAACAUCACACAUGCCUCAUGGCUAAGGAGAAGAAGGUAGAUGCUCGAGAAACCCCCAAGUACACUUCUUCUAGUGAUGAGGAUUCUGAUGAUGAGGUAGAUUAUAUGUCACACCCAGGUUUCAGGGGCACCAAGACCCGGGCGAGAAAUAAUCACCAAGUGUGCUACGACCAAGUCUUACACAUAUGAUGACUCAUGGUACAGAAACAAAUGUCACAUCUUUACUAUAUAAUAGGAGUUCUGUACAAAAUAGUUAAAUAAUUACAUCAUAUGAAGACAACAAUCUUGCAACAAAAGUUGACUAGGAGACGACGGCCUAGACCUCUCACGAACUCAUCACAGCAUUCUUCAUGCGCCUCAUCAUGCAGUACCUAUUCUUGACCUGGGGGAUGUGAGUACAACAAGGGUGAGCUCACAUACAUUCAUCGCUCAACAAGUUGUGGGGAAUAAUGUGCAUGAACUCACCAAAGGUGGGAGCCCAUGUAAAGUGUAAGGCUUACCAAAGAGGAUGAUUAAAGCUGAGCAUUGCUUUUAAAGUUGGUCAAAAUUUUCUUAGCAGUUACUAGGUAUAUGUAGAUACCAACCCAAUUAAAUAAGAGAUCAAGAUUAAUAACAACACUCACAAUGCAAUGACAAAUUGAGUUUAAUUCCAUAAGUUAAUCAUGUGAGGGUCCGAGACGCUCAUGACCGUGAGCAUGGCUGAUAUACAAGUUUUACACUCUACAGAGGUUGCGCAUAUUUACCCACAAGUUGGGUUACCCAUUUUCCACGGAGUUGAUCAGACCCCAUACACCUCUACCAAGGAAGCGAGGCAGGGUACCACUACGAGGCCUUUACAAAGUUCCACUAGCUUCAGAAAACCCGCUAUAGUUUCUAGGAAGCGCAGUAAAGGAAUCCCCCGUCUGAAAAGCCAUCGCAGCAAACUCAUCCCGAGAACCUCCCUAUACUGACCACUCCCCUACUGCCCUUGCCCCUUUCAGGUAAGGUAGUCCUCCACUAACUUUCCUAAUUAUUCAGCCAAGGGCAUCCCAUACCACCCUUGUGGUAGCACAGUUUUCCUGGGUGGUCGCUCCAUGUUCCAAUUAACAAUAUGAUCUUAUCAUGAACAAUAAUUAAACAACAACAUAAUUGGAACAUGAUCAUAAUAAAACAUUAGUUUCCCAAAACCAAGUAGGGCAAUAGCAAAACUACCCAAUAGUUCAUCUGUUUGCAAGGUGAGGGAUAAACAAUGCUAGGGAAACCUAUUAGGUCCCAUCAAAUUAACCUGAGCAUGUCAUAGUGACUAACAACGAACAUUAUUAGGUAAAAAGAAGUGAUCAAGGGCACAACUUGCCUGAGACUCGAGAUUCCAGGUACCAGGAUGAUCUUCAGAUUCUCGUGACCUAACUGCUAUUCAUAGCAAUACAAACAAACAUGGUAUAGUUAAAAUUAACAUCACACCAAACGUAAUCAUAAACUCCAUAAUAAUAUUCUACGCGUUGCUACGAGAUUGUAGGUUCGAGAACCGCUAAAUUCGGAGUUAUGGUGAUAAAGUUAUGAUUUUCUAAAGAUUUAGGAGUCGGUACAAAAGAAAUUAAGUACAUAAUUUUUAAUUUAGGUUUCAUAAUAAAAAUAAAGCUACCAGGGGAUAAACAAUAUUAUUAUAGAUUUACUACAACUAGAAUGGAUCAAUUUGAAGUCAAAAUGAAUAAAAUAUGAAUUAAACAAGUUUCUAGAAUUAUUUUUAUACCAAAAAACCAUUUUCUAUAUUAAUAUAAUCAUUUUAUUUAACUUCUGGGCUGGGGCCACUAUUUCUCAUAAACUCAGGGUUGAAUCUGCGAAUAAAAGGACCCACUUGAAAUUACUUUUGCACUGGCGUGGAUGACGGGUUUAUGUCAAGAAUCGCUAGGGGCUCUUUUGCACUAAUCCGAAGCCGAAGAGGUAUCCUUGAUUGUCAGUCAUCUGAUCUAACACCGAUGGUCCCGAUUAGAUCCCACACACGCCCAACCAGCGAGCAACCUAGGUCGCCCGAUCUGCAUCCUACGGUUCUGAUAUUAAACAUAUGCGGCCACCCGGAUUCGUUCGAUCCACAUCUAACUGCCAGGAUUGCCCCUGACCGAACGGAUGCGCAACAUCAAUCUGGGCCCUCCAUUCGUUGAUCCACGACACACGCCAAUCCCCUCCCCCUCCAACACACCAACGGACAGCACCGCCCACAGUACGCGAUGGAGGUCCACCAGAGUAGGCCCAAACCUUCAAUUAGGGUGCUACCUCCUACCGAACAAGGUGUUACACGGCGCGGAGAGUACAAGGAAGAAGAUGGUGGGGUCAUUACCGACUGGUAGCGUCCCGAUGCAAGUCGACCGCAGAAGGUUAUGUCGCGGCAGCGCUAUGGCGGAGAAGCGUGUCUCCGCGGGAUCCCUUGUCACCAAUGAGCAAUCCCAAGCGUCAACACCACCGCCUGCGCCCGAUGAGGUCCCCGACAACCCAAAGCGCGCCCCGGUGAAGUCCUUAGGUCUGAGAUUGUGUGCUCGACGCUGGUCGAAGGUUCCCCUCCCCAGAUACGGUGGUGGCGUCUGGAGCGUUCCUCGGUUCGGUGAUGCAGGGACUUGAGUUCAGAUGAUGGAGGCGAGGCAUGGCUGGCGGGAGCAUUUUUAUAACCCUAGGGGCCCGAGACCGCCAACGAAUCCCGGCGAGAUCGCACCAGGCCGUGCUUCCAUCGUGAGUUUGUUGACGAACCUGAUCAGACGAGCCCACCAGGCAGCGAGUCACGGCGGACGAACCCGCGCGCUGAGUAGCUGGCAGUCUGAGCCCACCUGUCAUCCAUGGUGUGCAUCCAAGGCGUAAGCAGUAGCUGAGAGACUGAACGUGAGGCCCGCGUAGCAGCGGUGAUACGCGUGUGGGGAGUUAUUGUGCUGGCUCACGCUUUGGCCCCUUGGUGCAGUGACGGGCGCGCGACGUGAGGCAGACCAGUGGGUCCCGCCGGUCAGCGCCAAAACCCACAAUUGGGUUGUGCAGUGAUAGAGACGUUAUUGGGCCGAAGGGAGGAAAAUCGGCCCAAGUCGAGGAUGCCAUGUUUAUUCCUUUUUCAUUUUCUGUUUUUCUUUAUUCAAGUUUGAAUUCCAAAUUUAGUUUUGACUUCAAACCCAGGUUGAAUGCACAAAAAAUAUCAGAAUGGAAUGCAGAGUUUAAUUAUUUUAUUUUUGUUUAUUUAUUAUCUUAUCUAUUUGAAUAAAUGCUUCUAAAUAUGAAAUCCAUACACACUAAAAUAGAGAAUAUUUUAAGAAAUAUAAUCUCUAAUUUAUAAAAUCCUUUAGGGAAUAAUUAUAAAUAUAUAUUUCAAUAAAGGGAUAGCCAAAAUCAUAUAGGGGUAGUUUUAUUAAAUCUUUAUUAGAAGCUAUAUAUUUGUUUUAGGAUAUGUUAACUUCAAGAAUAGGAUUUUGGGUGCUACAUAAUAGUGAUUUCUUUAAGGGUUUAGAUAGAUCUAAAGUAGAUAAAAUCAAUGAAUUAAUUGAUGCCCUUAAUUAGAAGGAUAGGCUGUUAUAAAAACAAGCAGAUAUUUUUAUGAAGAACAUGAUAAAUAAAUGUUGAAAACUCUCCUGCUUUAGAAAUUAGGAAAAAUGAAUUACUUUCUUCUGAGUUAUCUUCUUGCCAUGAUUCUAUUUCUAGUCUUAAGAGCUUAAAUGCUGAUUUAAAUGCUAAGCUAGAAAAAGUGAAUGUUACUAGUUCAUCUGUGGAGCAUGUCUCUAUUUGCAAUAGAUGUAAAGAUGUCGAUAUUGAUGCUUGCAAUGCUCAUGCUUCCACUAUUUUUAAGUUGAAUGAUGAAGUUACAAAUCUUAAUGGUCAACUAAAAAUUUGCAAGAGUGAAUAUGAAAAGAUAAACUUUGUCAGGGAUGCCUACACCAUUGGUAGACACCCUUCUAUUAAGGAUGGACUUGGUUUCCAAAGGGGAACCAAGAACUUAACAAGUCAAAGGACUUCCAAUCUCAUCAAGGAGAAAGGGAAGACCCCUAUGGCUAGUAGCUCCCAUUCUUUACAUGAUAAAAGGAACCAUGCCUAUUUGUAUGCUCGUAUUAAGAAUGCUUCUAGUGUUGUUCAUCAUGAUAGUUGCUAUGAUCAUGUUGAUUUACCUGCUCGUCAUGCUGCUACUUUUGAUUCUUAUGCCAUGUAUGCAUCAUCUAGCUCAUCGUAUGUUCAUGGUAGAAGUAUACCUAGGCGCCAUGCGCCUAGGAAUGCAUCAAAUGGCACAACUAUGCUUUAUCAUACUUAUGUUGCUUCAUAUGUGCUAACUUGCAAAAUGAUAAAGUAGUUGCUAGAAAUUUGGGGCCUAAGUGCAAGAGAGACAAAACUUGCAUCCGGGUUCCAAAGUCUUAUGUGACUAACCUUGUAGGACCCAACAAGAGUUGGGUACCUAAAACCCAAGCUUAAAUCACCUUGCAGGUUUAUGCAUCCAGGGGCACAAGCUGGGUAAUUGACAACGAAUGCACAAACCACAUGACUGUGACAGAACCUUCCAAGUCAUUAGGCCCACCUACAGUUGUCCUUGUCCAAUGGACCUCGGACAACCUCGUAGAUGCACCUGAUCACUUGACAAGUUUGGUAUUUGUAUUCUUUACCCUUCUCAAGAGCGUUUCACCCGUCACGCAGAUAUUACAACACAUCAUAGGAACAAAUAAGCGGAAGCAAUUACAAUAACUUAAUUUACAUUAAAAUAUAGAAAGAGUGUUAUUAUUACAGACCAGUAAUAUAUAGGAGUGCAGGAGUAAUAUUAUUACAACCCCGGGAGGCAAAAACCCCUCCCGCUUAAUAGUAAAAUGUUUUUAAAAGGAGGAUAACAUCCUCCAGGGACUUCACCCGUGAGCUUCCUCAUUUGGCACCACCUUAGAACAAAAGCAACAAAAGUUUGCUGCUUCCUCACCUGCAACAAUAUGGGUUCAAAAACCCUAAGUACGAAGUGUACUUUCGCAAGUCUUACCCGUCAAAAUAAAAGACUCUCAAGGAUAUGCUGGCUUGAGGGAGUCAAGGUAAGGCUUAAUCAAGAAUCAAGACUCUGUUUGCAAAAAUGCUUACUAACAGUGGGUCCUUAGAAAUCCAGUUUUAUUAACAAGUUAAGUCAUUACCUGAAUCUAGAGUUCUUUCUACCCUAGUUCAAGCACUUGGCCUAUAUGUCAGCGUUUCGGACCCGCGUGGACCCUCAGCCGACUAGUGAAUUUGUCGCUGCGUGUCCCUGCCCAGAUGGGUUGAUGCAAGAUGGAACACAAGAGGGAGGAUGAGGCUUAUAUUAUCUUGCACCGGGGUGCUCGUAGUAGGGGUUACAAGCGUCGAGAGAGAGAGAGGGAGAGGGUUCGACCCUGAGGUAAGCUAUCUGAGUUAGCCUCCUCUGCGUUUCUAUCCUUCUGCCUGCCUCUCUCGCCCCCCCCCCUUUAGGAAGGCCCUGGACAUCCCCUUUAUAGAUACAAGGAGAUGGUCUAGCUGUACAAUGGGGGUGUAGCUAUGUGCUAACGUGGCCAGCGGAGAAGUGCUUGAGCCCUGUAUAUGUGCUAACGGGGCCGUCGGAGAAGUGCUUGAGCCCUGUAGAAGCGUAGCUGACGGUGCGGCCCAGGGUCCUGCUGACGUUUCUUUGCCUUCGUAGGGAGUUUGAGAGCAAUCGACGUCAUGGACACAUGCAGGGAACCAUCAUUACCUGUUGCCGGAGUAAUUUAGAUGGGACACCGGUCUUGUUCCUUCGUAGCCUGAGGCAGCUAGCUAGAGGUAGGGUAAUGAUGUAUCCCCUGCAGUGCGCGGUCGGUCCGAGGUCGGGCGAGGCGGAGACUUCUCCUGAGGCCGAGGCUGAGGUCGGGCGAGGUUGUGACUCCUCUCGAGGCCGAGGCUGAGGCCUGAGGUCAGGCGAGGCGGAGACCUUCUCCCGAGGCCGAGGUUGAGGCCUGGGGUUGGGCGAGGCGGAGACCUUCUCCCGAGGCCGAGGCUGAGGCCAAGGCCUGAGGUCGAGCGAGGCGGAGCUCCCUGUUGCGCCCAAGGCUGAACUCGGGGGAGGUCGUGACUUACUGUCGUUGGUUUUACCCUGGUGGUUGGCACAGUAGUCGGAACGGGGUGAAUAGUGUUGUUUUCCUGUCAGAAUGAUCAGUAAAGGGGGUGAAGUGACUGCAGUCACUUCAACUUUGCCGACUGAGGCGCGCGUGUCAGGAUAAGGUGUCAGGCGAUCCCCUCAUUAAAUGUGCAUGCGAUACGGUUGGUAGGUGAGGCGAUUUGGUCGAGGUCACUACAUGACAAAGUUUUCCCGAGCUUGGCUUCGGGCGAGCCGAGGGUGCGCCCACUGCCUAAGGAUGCCCUCGGGCGAGGCGUGAAUCCGCCCGGGACUGCUGUUCUUGCCCGAGGCUGGACUUGGAUGAGAUCGCAUCCCUUGGUAGACGGGGCCUUGACUUGAACUGUGCCUAUCAAUUUUUACGGUUUGUUCUGAAGAUGUUUUCCAGCCAUGUUAAGGAGUAUUGGGGGUACCCCUAAUUACGGUACCCGACAGUAGCCCCCGAGCCUCGAAGGGAGUGUAGGUACUCGCUUGGAGGUUCUGCCGGAUUUUUUGCAAGGGGACCAGCCCUUCUUGGUCAUAUUUUGUUCCGAUGGGUGCGUGCGAGCGCACCCAUCGGGUGUAGCCCCCGAGGCCUCAGAGGAGUGGUUUGACGCCUCUGAGGUCUUAAUUCUUUUUGUGAUGCCUCGGUCGGCCUUGUUGUUCCCUCAUGCGGCCUGGCCGCAGCCCGGGUGCACGGUCAGGCUCCGAGUUUUUAAGCUGGUUUGUCGACGUGGUCGAUAAUUUGGCUGUAGCCUGGUGCGAGAGCAGCCUCCGAGCCUCUGCACGGAGCGAGAGGACGAUCGAGGACUGUCUCGACUUUUUAUUGUACGCCCCUUCGUCGCCUUUCCGCAAGGAGGAAGGGGGGAAAGCGCCAUGUUACCCUCGGAGGCACCGAACACGGUGUUUCCAGUGAGUUGCUAUCGGGUGAUCCGAGUGGACGCUCGAGCCCCGUUCGAUAAGGGUCGACUAGUGGCCCAGAGGCGCGCUCCAAAAGUACCUGCAGGUGAUUUGCUGGACCCGGACCCAUUUUAUAGGGUCCGCAGGCUCGGUGCCUCUCUCCGGUGGGAUUCCAUUACAAAUCGUUCCCGCUGGUCUCGGAAAUGUCCUAGGGUACCUCGGGAGUGUAGCCUGAGCCUUGGCCAUGUAAUGGACGUACCCAGGGUCAUCCCUGACUCUGCAUGCUCUGGGGCGGCUGUCGAACCCUUCCGAGGGGCCAGCCUUCGAACCCCUGGUCAGUAAAGGGCUCGGAGCCCGAGUGCUCAGGGGCGGUUGCCGAACCCCGCAGAGCGCAACCUUCGAACCCCUGAUCAGUAGGAGGGCUCGGGCCCGCUUCCUUCGCUGAGAAGGAUCCUUUCGAAAUAUCCCCUUUUCUCGAUCCCUGUGGCAAGAGAGAGAGAGAGAGAAAAGGAAAAAGGAUAUAAAUUUAAACAAUGUGGCACACCUUUUUUGAGGCGGUCAUCAUGACGGAGACGAAACGGCGCCCGCCAGAGGUGUCGUGUGCCCUGCCAGGGAGUUAAUGCGACGGGACGGGCGAUUCAUGGGGCAUCUGUUGCGCGUGCGCGAGUCGUUCGAGGAACAGAAAAACUGUUUCACCUUCGAGUUUGAAUUUUGCGACGGGUUCGGGCGAAGUUUUGGGUGGAUCUCGCCCGGGCCUUUAUAUGCCCAGAAGAGGGGCCGGCGGUGGUUCUUUACCCUGUCAUUUGCGCUUGUCUUCUGCUUUGGUUUCUGCAACCUAAGACAAUAGUCAGAGAAGAGAAAACCGCGCACCUCAUCCCCUCCGCCUUCACCGCUUCCGUUCGGCGAUGGCUGACAAGGCGACCGUCGUUCCGCCGCGCGACCCGUGGCCUUUCUCCACCGUUACUGUGGAGGAGCUGGAGGCCCUUGUUUCCGAUGGUUUGCUCCAUCCUCUCUCUGACGGGCCGCAGCCUGAGUGGAUGGCCCCUGGGAGCGAGGCCGACCCGACUCCGCCACCGGGGUACGUGGUCAGUUUCAUCCCCUUCCAUGAGCGGGGGUUUGGGAUGCCAGCAAGCCGCUUCAUGCGGGCGCUCCCUCACUACUACGGGGUGGAGCUGCAUAACUUCAACCCCAACUCCAUUGCGCAAGCGGCCAUCUUCGUGGCGGUUUGUGAGGUUUUUUUGGGGAUUGACCCUCACUGGGACCUGUGGACCCAUCUCUUCUCCGUGGAGUUCUUCGCCGCGUCGACGGACGUGAAGAAGGUCCGCAUGGCGGUGCGGGCCGGUGGCUGCACCCUCCAACUGAGGCCGGAGCGCGCGCAGCAGUACAUCCCUGCCUCUCUUGUAUCUUCGAACAAGGGGUGGCAGAAUCGGUUGUUUUAUCUCCGGAACGAUGACGGGAUGCUUUUGCCGUUUUCUCAACGAGUGGUGACCGCCGCCGGUAAUAACUGGCGCUGGGGGGACACACGCGAGAACCAGGAGAAGCUCUAGCCUAUUCUGCGUGCCUUGCAGAAGUUACAAGACGAGGGCCUUACCGCUACGGGGGUCGUCACCGCUAUCCAUCGCCGGAGGGUGCUCCCAUUGGCGGAGCGGCGGUUGCAACUCUCGGAGAUGAAGCCGGGGGUUGAUUUGGAGGGUUCGCGGAUGUCCUCGACCUCCCUCUCCGCCGACGACCUCCUCAAGCAGGUAGCGGGUACGGUAGGGAGGCUGGAUGUUGGCGCCCUUAGCCAGCCCGCGAUGCGUCCCGACCGUGGGUAUGUGUCCCGGGUAAGUGUCCGAUCCUCCUUCUGUUUUGCGCUAAGUUUUUUACGUUUUUAGCUCUCACUAUUGGGAUUUUCGUUCGUCCUCUGGGGUUGAGGAGUUUUAAGCUCUCCCUGCCACCGGUCCCGGAGGAUGCGGCGGACCGAACCGCGCGCAGGCUCGCCGCGGAGAAGGAAAAGGAGAAGAAGGACGCGGAAAAUGUGACGGAACCUCCCAAGUAAUUAGACCCACCUACAGUUGUCCUUGUCCAACAGACAUCAGACACCCUGUAGAUGUUCCUAAGUGAAAGGAUCAUGAUGCCCAAGAGGGGGGGUGAAUUGGGCUUUUCUAAAAAUCAACACUAAUUAAAACCUAAGCAAGAGCUUAACAAGAGCCCAACUUCACCCCAACAACUAGCACUAAGAAUAUAAUACUAGAGAUGUAACAAAGCUAAGAUAAUACUUCAAAUACUUGCUAAACAAAUACACAAUGUAAAGUGCUUGAAUUAAGUGCGGAAUGUAAAGCAAAGUUUAGAAGACUCCUCCAAUUUUUCCCGAGGUAUCGAAGAGUCGGCACUCUCCACUAGUCCUCGUUGGAGCACCCGCGCAAGGGUAUCGCUCCCCCUUGGUCCUCGCAAGAACCAAGUGCUCACUAUGAGAUGAUCCUUUGCCACUCCGGCGCGGUGGAUCCCUCGAGACCGCUUACAAACUUGAGUCGGGUCACCAACAAGAUCUUCACGGUGAUCACCGAGCUCCCAACGCCACCAAGCCGUCUAGGUGAUGCCGAUCACCAAGAGUAACAAGUCAUAGACUUUCGCUUGACCAAGAGAAGCCUAAUGCGAGUGGUGUGUGCUCUAGGUGGCUCUCACUAGCGCUAAUGAGGAACAAGCGCGGAUUAUGAUUCUCUAAUCUCCUCACUAGGCUUUUGGUGCUUGCAAUACUCUACCAAGGUGCUGGAAUAAAUGUGGAGUGCAAGACAUUGAAUAUGGUGGGUGGAGGGGGUAUAAAUAGCCCUCACCCACCAACUGGCCGUUACAGGCAUUUACUGCGCGAUGGCGCACCGGACAGUCCGGUGCGCCACCAGUGCGCCAACGGUGCGCCACCGGUGCGCCAACGGUCACUUCCAACGGCUAGUUCUGACAGCUAGCCGUUGGACUCAUGGCGCACCGGACAGUGAACAGUCCACUGUCCGGUGCACACCGGACAGUUCGGUGCGGUGUCCGGUGUGCCACUAAAAUUCAUCUCCGAAGGCUGCGCUCUCGGGUUUCUGCGACUGGGAAAACUCUGCUGAGGACCAGCCUGGCCCCACCUGGCAGAGGGUGCACCGGACAGUCCGGUGCACACCGGACAGUCCGGUGCCCCAAAGCCAGAAACACUAAGUCUUGUUUUUCAGCUGAUUUUCAAAUCGGUUUUCGCUCUAACUUGUGUGUGAGUUCUAGAGUGACACCUAGCACUAUAUAUGAGUGUGAUUGUGCACCAACACUACACUAGAACUCUCUUGGUCAAACUACUCAUCGACAACCCCUCUUUAUAGUACGGCUAAAAGAGAAUAAAAGACCUAACUAAAUCGCGAGUGUCCACAUCUCCUUGACACUCGGACUUCUUAGACCUUCACCUUUUGUUCCGUCGUUUUAGCCGUCGCUUCGAGUUCUUAUCUCCGGGAUUGUUUUCACCGUUGUAGUACUUCUACCUGUCAUGCGACCUAACUUACCAUUUGUCUCUGCAAAACACACGUUAGUCAAAUAUAAUAUUACGUUGUCAUUAAUCACUAAAACCAACCAGGGGCCUAGAUGCUUUCAAUCUCCCCCUUUUUGGUGAUUGAUGACAACCCUACAAGUUUUGUGAGAGUAGUUUGUUUUGAAGAUUCUGUCAAUAGAAAGAAUGGUUAGUUAUACUCAGUAAUCUUUGACAGAAAGAAUGUGUACCAUAAUAAUAAGAGUGAGCGCAUACACAUCAUAAGAUUCUUGUUCAUAUAAAAGAGAAAGUAAAUUAAUGAAACAAGAGCUGGAAGACUGGUGAUAUGAUAUAAGGUGAAAACAUAGUACACACAGUCAAACAUAAGCAACGAGAGUAUAUGACGAGUUUGUGAGCCAAAAACAUAAAGCUAGUACAGAGAGUAGCAAGCACAUAUAUUACAUCAAAAUGACUCUGACUCUCUACUAACUCUCUAACUCCCCCUAGCUCUCACAACUCAUAUCUCUCCCCCUUUGGCGUCAAACACCAAAAGGGACCUGAACCUAAACAUCUGAUGCAGGAGGAGGCGGCGGGGGCGCAUCCGGUCGAGGUCGAGGUAGCAGAGCGAACGCCGACGGAGGGUCAGAGUCAGUCUCGGAUCCAGGAUCUGCGGUAGAAGCUGGAGCUGGUACUGACUCGGACGCAGACAGCGCUGCAGGAGCUACCGGAACAGAAGCGGUCACAGAUACUGCCACAGCGGUAGUGGUAACAGCAGAUGCUGGUGGCACUGGCGGCUGCGGGCAGACAGAGCUGAGAACCGGAGAAGUGAACGCCAAAGUGACCGGCCGGAGCGGAGAGGUACCAGUAGGGGGUCCAGACAAGAUCGAAGGCACCACUGGAGCGUGAAGCGAAGAAGGCGGAGCAGACUGAACCGGAGGUGCUGAGAUACCAGAAUGCUGAAGCAUGAGGGCCAUGAAUGCCCUAUUCUCUGCCCUAUCCUGAAUAAGCUGCUGCUGAAGUGCAUCCUGCCUGUCCUGCAUGCUCUGAAACAUCGAGAGCAUCGUCUCGGAUAACCGGGCCUGCUCGGCUGCCAGGUUGGCCAGAAUCGCCGCAAGAGCAGGGUCCAUAGCCGGAGGAGGAGCAGGGGCAGCACGAGAACUCCCAGCCUCAUGAUCAUGGGAGCGUGGAGGCAUAGGAGGCGGAGGCGGAGGAGGAACCCCAAAAUCAUCAUCAUCAUCAUCAGCAGCAGCUGCUGUACCCUGGGUGUCAAACUGUCGAAGUGCUGCAUCCUCGGCCUGAGUGUCAAACACAGGAGCAUAAGCUGGCACUGGAAUCUCAGGAGCAGGACGGUAAGAUCCAAACACAAGGCGUGAGGCCUCAAGGGUGCUCUGAAAUCGAGGUGGCUGAAUCAGCUGCACAAAGAUGUGGCACAAGUAGUGAGCAUAGGGUAGCUACCGACGAGCACGAAUCCCAUCCAGAACGGUGUCCUCAAUCUCACAGAUCAGAAAGUCCACAACAUCAAACUCAGAGUGGGAUACCAGGGCACCAAGGAGCCAAAGCUGAAUGUGAGUGGUAGCCUCCCUGUAUCCCAUCCUAGGCAGGAGUGUCCGUCGGACGAGCUCAUAUAAGUACUUCGCUGCAGUAGUGAAGUCUGCUGGAGAACGUCGCGACCCAUCUGUGAAAGGCGGGCGGAACAGAGCCGCGACGUGAGCUGUCCCUGGAGCCACACCGCCGUGAGGGCGACGUGGAGGAUCUGAAGUGCCGUAGCAGAGACUGUGAAGGCGAGUCGUCGACUCAGGGAAUCCAAAUAGCUGUCGGAUCUGACUGGCAGUGAUCGUGACAUCCUCGCGCUCAAAGCGGAACCUCAUCCAAUGAUGAUCCGGGUCAAUCCAAACAGAGGCAUAGAAGACGCGGACCCACUCCUCAACAUAUCUGCCGCUGAUAGUCAGAAAGGACAGAAGGCCUGGCAAAUAGGUGAGAUGCGCCUCAGACUCAGUACCGGCUGCUAGCAAAAAAGCUGGAAGAUCCAAUAGGCGGUGCACUCUCAGCGCAAUCUGAGCAGACAUCUGAGCCCUGAAGAAUGACUCCUGAAUCCGUGUGCUGAAAAGAACUCCUGCUGCUGGGUCUCUCUGAGCUGGCAGCCAAGACUCCAUGGGUACGUACCUGAACCGAUGUACCCGGGCUGCAGUAGCACGCUGAAGAUCAAACAGACGAGGAUCCGAAACCAGUGGACGGACCUCAGUCUCAUCACGCUCCCGGAAGCGAGGUGGAGGGACAGGAGGAGCUGAAGCGGGAGCGGGGGUAGGGGAAGCAGUGGAAGCUGGCGUAGUGCUGGUAGUGGGUAUGACGGUGGAGGUGGAUGGAGCAAUAGGAGUGACUAGAGCAGGCAGAGUGGGUGGCGGGGUGGAAGCGGAGGUGUGAGUGGAGGAGCGAGAUCGGGAGGCGAGACGACGAGCACGGAAAGCAAUCGGAUCUGAUGGAACAUCCGGCUGAUCUCCAAGUGCUGCCUGUGCAGCGGCUGCUGCAGCAGCUGCUGCUGCACGAGCCUCUCUGUCCGAACGCCGCUUCUUGCGGCCUUCCUGCUGCUCCAAAUAGACAGUCUUGCCCUUCACCUGCCUGAAGGGGCGACGAGGGUCCUCGUCAUCGCCACCCCCUGACGCCGACGCAUUCUUCGUGCGCGGCAUCCUGAACUAAAGUCUGCAAAUGAGAUAGAGAGACUAAGCACAGAGCAAAAGUGACCGAUAGAUUUAGCAAAGAGUGCGAUGUCUACCUGGAAAGCUCACACAAGAGGUGACGAUCCAGGCAGGACGGGAGACGGCACACGGUCACACAAGGUCACUGAAAUGACAGAAGAGGUGAGCACGUAUUAGUCACAUAGUCAUAAGCAUAUGAAAUGUGAGUAAAUACAUACACAAAGAGAUAUGGCACGAGACGGGACGAUCGAUAAGUCAAACGACGUGGAAACGGCGUUUGAUAGACAAAUAGAGACAAAGGAUGAUUGGAAUUCGAAUUGAGGCACGAAACGAUAUGGGAUUGAGCCGAUACUUCACGAAUAGGUUUAUAUAGGUCAAUAUGAGUGAAGUGUGUGCUUGGUUUGAAUUUAGGCGAAGAAAUAGGAAUUUGGGCACUCGGCUCGGAAACGAUCGCUCAAAACGGGAAUUUUAGUAAAAUUUAAGCCUGGGACCUCGAAUUGGUGUGAAAUUUGGCAAGUAGGUUACUGGAAGUGUUGUGAAGGUGCCUGAAAAAUUUGGGUUCAAUUGGAGCAAGUUUGGCUGGUUUGGGCAUUUCACCGAGCACGUGGUGUGCGGGGAGUUAGGGUUUUAGGAAAAUGGCCAUUUGAGGUAGGAAUACCCUCCCGAAGGAGCCAAGGACCUGCAGGGGUAUGAAAUAGGGACAGGGGAACACAAUCCACCAACUGGAUGCAUGGGAUUUCACAGAAAUUUGAAAUAGAUACAAAGGGUGGUGCUUUGGAUGCCACAGAGCCAUUUCAACUGAGAGCAGGGAGAUAGAGGGAAGAGGAGUAGGUGCUCACCGAGGGGAAGAGCUCGGGCGAGGUCGCCGGAGAUGGAGGCUACCGGAGAGAGGAGGUCGUCGUCGGGCGCUGGGAAAUCGCCAGAGACAGAGGUGGAGACAGAGCGUGGCCAGGAAAAGAAUGCCUCUGGCCCGGCUCGGUCGGGCUGGAGGCGGAUUUUUAAAACGCGAGAUGGGCACACCGGACAGUCUACAUUGCCUGUCCGGUGCACACCGGACAGCGCACAGUAGCUGUCCGGUGAACCACCGGACAGCGCACAGGAAAAAGCAUUUUAGCGCGCGGCUGCCGGUGCACCGGACAUUGCACAGUGCAGUGUCCGGUGCACACCGGACUGUCCGGUGAGCCCAGACAGAGGGGAGUUUGGAAAAUUUUGAAUUUUUCUAUCUAACUCCUAACCAAACCAAAUCCCAACUUAUAAUCACACAAAAUAACACUUGUUGGGACAGGUAUUGGCACCCUCAUAUACUUUUCAAAAUAUUUUGCCAUAGGCUAGAUAAUUUUUAGAGAAAAUAGGCAAAUGGUGAAAUUUGCAUUUUGGCUUGCACUAGGGGUUUUCAAGAGUGAUUUGAGUUUUGAAUACUCCCCCUAAGUGCAGUACCUCAUGCAUAUUUCAAGAACCAAUAAUUGCAUGAAAAGAAAGAAUUUAAGUGCUAAAAGCUUAAAGACUAAGACUUGUCAGGUUUGACCCGAGUUAAGCUUUUUCACUCACUUUAUUGGCGGUUAUCUCAACUAGGUUAGACAAGCCCUAGAUGCAAUACAAGGAAUUUAAAUAUGCAAUGCAAGCUUGACAACACCAUUUGACAUUUCACAUAAAAUUUCUGAGAUCAAGAAUAUUUAGUUCAUUCCUCAACAUGCAAAAGCGGGUCUUAUCAAGUGGCUUAGUGAAAAUAUCCGCUAAUUGAUCUUCCGACCUCACUCCUUCUAAAAUGAUAUCUCCUUUAGCAACAUGAUCUCUAAGGAAGUGAUGACGGAUAUCAAUGUGCUUGGUGCGAGAGUGUUGAACAGGAUUAUUAGCAAUUUUAACAGCACUCUCAUUAUCACACAACAAAGGUACUUUUUCUAGAACUACGCCAUAGUCUAGAAGAGUUUGUUUCAUAUAUAAAAUCUGUGUGCAACAAGCACCUGCGGCAAUGUAUUCCGCUUCGGCAGUUGACAAGGCAACACUAUUUUGCUUUUUGGAUGUCCAUGAAACUAGUGAUCUACCAAGCAGAUGGCAUCCCCCAGAAGUACUUUUCCUAUCAAUUUUGCAACCGGCAUAAUCUGAAUCGGAAUAGCCAAUUAAAUCAAAAGUAGCUCCUUUGGGAUACCACAGACCAACGCUUGUGGUGUGCUUGAGAUACCUAAGAAUUCUCUUAACAGCGCGAAGAUGAGCUUUCUUAGGAUUAGAUUGAAAUCUAGCACACAUGCAGACACUAAACAUAAUAUCGGGCCUAGAUGCGGUAAGGUAUAAUAAACUACCAAUCAUAGAACGGUAGAGAGUUUGAUUAACCGGGUUACCUCCCUCAUCUAAGUCGAGAUGUCCAUUUGUAGGCAUGGGGGUCUUGAUUGGUUUGCACUUCUCCAUGUUGAAUCUUUUCAACAAGUCUUUGGUAUACUUCUCUUGAGAGAGAAAGUUACCAUCUUUCAUUUGCUUGACUUGAAAGCCGAGGAAGUAUGUUAGCUCACCAAUCAUUGACAUCUCGAACUCCUUCGACAUCAACUCACCAAAUUCCUUGCAAUGAUAGUCAUUUGUCGAGCCAAAGAUUAUAUCAUCAACAUAUACUUGACAAAUGAAAAUAUCACCGUUACGUUUCUUUGUGAAGAGAGUUGUGUCGACGGUCCCGAUUUUGAAGCCCUUUUCGAUGAGGAAGUCGCGAAGACGCUCAUACCAAGCCCUUGGAGCUUGCUUUAGCCCAUAUAGCGCCUUGGACAACCUGUAAGCAUGGUUAGGAUAUCUAGGGUCUUCAAAUCCAGGCGGUUGCUCAACAUAUACAAGUUCAUUUAUGAAGCCAUUUAAAAAUGCACUUUUUACAUCCAUUUGAUAAAGUUUUAUAUCAUAGCAUGAUGCAUAUGCAAGUAGGAUACGGAUGGCUUCCAGUCGAGCAACCGGUGCAAAGGUCUCUCCAAAAUCUAAGCCUUCAACUUGAGAGAAUCCCUUUGCGACAAGUCUUGCCUUGUUUCUUACAAUCACACCUUGAUCAUCUUGUUUGUUUCUGAACACCCACUUUGUUCCAAUGAUUCUUGCAUCUUGUGGGGGCUUCUCCAGGGUCCAAACUUCGUUACGGGUGAAGUUGUUAAGUUCUUCAUGCAUGGCAUUCACCCAGUCCGGAUCCUGUAGCGCCUCAUCUAUACAAGUAGGCUCAACACAAGAAACAAAAGAGUGAUGUUCAAUAAAAUUAGCAUGUUUAUGUGAUCGAGUAAUAACCCCUUGUGAAGGACUCCCGAUGAUUUGGUUUUGAGGAUGAGCUUGAAGUAGUGAUGAGUUUCUCCUGUCAACCACUUGGGAAGAAGAUCCUGGAGCAUCAACAUCUUCGGCUUGUACCCUUGCUUGUUUAUGAGAGACAAAUGUAUCUUCAUUUGCAUGCCUCUCAUCUUUUUCAUCAUCUUGUGGUAUAUUUGAUGAAGAAGGCCUGUCAAUGAUUUGCACCUCUUCUUCAUCUUCUUUUGGUUUGAUAGCUCCAAUAGGCAUGUUCUUCAUUGCUUCCCUAAGUGGCUCAUCACCUACAUCAUCAAGAUUUUCAAGUGCUCCUUGGGAGCCAUUAGUCUCAUCAAAUUCCACAUCAUAUGUUUCUUCUACCACGCCAGUGGCAUGGUUGAAUACUCGAUAUGCUUUGGACUUUAAUGAAUAACCCAAAAGAAAACCAAUAUCACAACGUCUUUGAAACUUCCCUAGGUGAUGGCGUUUCUUGUAGAUGUAGCAUUUGCACCCAAAUACCCGGAAGAAAGAGAGUCUGGCUUUUUCCCAUUUAGCAGUUCAUAAGGAGUCUUCGCAAGUAGCCGGUGAGGAAAUAGCCUGUUUGAUGCAUAACAAGCAGUGUUGACAGCUUCGGCCCAAAACCUCUCCGGUGUGUUAUACUCAUCAAUCAUUGUUCUUGCAAGGGUGAUCAAGGUCCUAUUUUUCCUUUCAACAACUCCAUUUUGUUGAGGUGUAUAUGUGGCAGAUACUUCAUGCUUGAUCCCAAUUUCAUCACAGUACUCAUGAAUGUUGGUGUUGUCAAAUUCUUUGCCAUUGUCACUUCUAAUCUUCUUAAUCUUGCAAUCAAAUUCAUUUUGUGCUUUCUUGGCAAACUUCUUGAAUAUAGAUGCAACUUCAGAUUUGUCAUGGAGAAAGAACACCCAAGUGUAUCUUGAGAAGUCAUCAACAAUCACUAGACAGUAGAGGUUGCCACCGGCACUGACAUAAUUUGUAGGUCCAAAUAAAUCCAUAUGAAGUAGUUCCAGUGGCCUUGAUGUUGACAUGAAAGCUUUAGUGGGAUGUGUAUUAGCAACCUGCUUUCCAGCUUGACAUGCACUGCAUGGCUUGUCUUUUUCAAAUACCACAUCCUUUAAUCCUCUAACCAUAUCUUUCUUUAAUACCUUCUUGAGUGUGCUCAUCCCAACAUGUGCAAGCCUCCUAUGCCAAAGCCAUCCAAGAGAAGCUUUGGUGAAGAGACAAGUUCUCAAGUCUGCAUCUUCUGAAGUGAAAUCCACUAAGUAGAGGUUGUUGUAUCUAAAUCCCUUGAAUACCAUUGAUUCAUCAUCCAUUUUUGUUACAAUAACCUCUGAUGGAGUGAAUAAGCAUUGAAGUCCAAGAUCACAGAGUUGUCCCACUGAUAAUAAAUUGAAGCUCAAGGGUGCAACUAAAAGAACAUUUGAUAUUGAUAAGUCAUUUGAGAUUGCCACCUUGCCAAGUCCUUGCACUUUUCCUUUUGAGUUGUCUCCAAAUGUGAUUUUAUCUUGACCAUCAACAUUCUCAUCUAAUGAGGUGAACAUCCGUGGGUUGCCUGUCAUAUGUUGUGUGCAUCCACUGUCAAUAACCCAAUGGCUCCCACCGGUCUUGUAGUUCACCUUUCGUUCACCCCUAGCCAUGAGGCAUAGGUGAGAAGUGGAUGAUGGCGAUGGUGGUGGUGAAGAGAAGUCCCCGGCGAUGGCCGCAACUUUUUCAUCAUCCUCUUCUUCACUUGAAGACGAUCCACUUGAUGAUUCGAUGUCGGUGAGCCAAUCGCCAACAAUAUAGGCCUUUCCAUUCUUCUUCUUGUGGAACCUCUUUUGCUUCCCAUCCUUCCUCUUGAAAAAUUUCUUUUCCUUCUUUUCAUCAUCGCUGUCAUCUUCCUUCUUGCCCUUGAACUUGUUCUUCUUGGGCUUGUUGCAUUGAUGAGCAAGAUGACCAAGCUCACCACAGUUGUAGCAGUCCAUCUCAGAAAUGGGCUUUCUUUUGUUGGAAAAGAACUUCUUCUUUCUUGAAUCAAAUUUGAUGCCUUCUCUAUUUAGCUUCUUCAACAUCUUGGUGGUCUUCCUUACCAUCAAGGCAAUGUUUGCAUCAAGGUCAUCAUCACUUGAGGACUCUUCCUCAACUUGUAUUUUUGCUUUUCCUUUUCUUUCAUGAUUUGCUUUGAGAGCCAAAUCCUUUCUUUUGGAAGAUGAUUCUUCUUUGUUGAUGUGCAUGUACAUUUCAUGGGCAUUGAUCUUUCCCAAAAUUUGUGUAGGUGUGGUAACUGAAAGAUCCAUUUGAUGUAGCACAGUGACAAUGUGCCCAUAUUUGUCUAUUGGGAGGACACUGAGAAUCUUCCUCACAACAUCCGGUUGUGAGAUUUGAGUAAGCCCCAAUCCAUUGACUUCCUCUACAAGAAUAUUAAGUCGUGAGUACAUAGCGUUUGCAUUUUCAUUAGCAAGCAUUUCAAAAGAAUUUAACUUUCGCAUAGCUAUGUGAUAUCUUUCCUCACGUUCACUUCUAGUUCCUUCGUGUAGAGCACAAAUGUCCAUCCACAAAUCAUGAGCAUUUUUAUGAUUCCGAACUCUAUUGAACACAUCUUUGCAAAGGCCUCUAAAAAGGGUGUUUUUGGCCUUCGCAUUCCAUUUCUCAUAAUUGAACUCAUCACCUACAAGAUUUGUGGGAUCUCUAGGUUGGGGAAACCCUUGUGUGGCGGCUUUAUAGACACCAAUGUCUAUAGCCUCUAAGUAUGCUUCCAUACGAAUUUUCCAAUAAGGAAAAUCGUCACCAUCAAAAACGGGAGGAGGUCCAUCCCCACCGGACAUCGUAACUCUAGCGGUUAAGCUAAUCUAUGAGCAACAAGGCUUUGAUACCA
RNAcentral lists this long non-coding RNA (71686 nucleotides) under Zea mays. Its description in RNAcentral is "long non-coding RNA (ZMAY_LNC002315)". The record is from RNAcentral. Lineage: Eukaryota; Viridiplantae; Streptophyta; Magnoliopsida; Poales; Poaceae.